Long non-coding RNA from Mirounga angustirostris (Northern elephant seal), 67061 nucleotides. RefSeq lists it as uncharacterized. The record is from RefSeq and is a predicted model, not a curated record. Lineage: Eukaryota; Metazoa; Chordata; Mammalia; Carnivora; Phocidae. The transcript is spliced from 2 exons.
AAGUUGAUAAAUACUCUGGGGAAAAUGUCAUUUGAAGUCUUCUUUAAAAUUUCACAUCCAGAUCCAAGCAUUAAUGAUAAAUUAAAGAUAGUAAAAUAUCAUCAACUAUUGAUUAAUCUUGAAAAUAUUUACUGGACUGUUUUUUUGGAUGGCAUGGCUAUUUUAAAUUAUUGGUUCAUAGACAAAAGCCCUCUAUUGCAUUUGUUUAUGAAAAUGCUUGAAGUAUAUUCUGCACAUUUUGAAGUAUCUUCUUACUAGCCACCUGGUGUUUGAGAAACACCCUCUAUAUGCUAAUCCUCAUCAGAGAAGUCUGUGAAGGUUUAAUUACUUAAAAUUUUUGUUAAUAAAUUUUGGUCUUAGCCUCCAAGCUGGUUUCUCCAUAUGUUGUUCUAAUGGUGCUUCUUCCAUGUCCAAAAGGAGUUCCUGAGAUUGGCAAAAUCUCCUAAUUAAUUGAAAAGGAUCUAAAAGAAUAGUUGGAAAUAUGUUUUCGAUUGCUGUUGUGUACAAAUGUUAUCUUCAGAAGCUUAGGAAAAUGGAUGUGAUUUCAAAUUUGCACAAACGUAAAAGGUGUAAGGCCCUCUGAGGAUGUUUUGCCAAAUGUAUGCAUGAGCUUUAAUGUAGGUGGGUCAAACAACUUACAGAUGGAUGACUUUGGUCAAUCCAUGCUAAUUGGACAAGAAUAAGAAAUGGAUCAAGAAGAUCAUCUUGCCAAUCGGGGUUAUUUGUAUUUUUAUUACUUCUUUCAACUUACUUUUUGCAUAAACCUUAGUAUCAUUGAGCAUAUUUUCAUUUUACUUGAGAAACAGUAUACUCUCAGACCUUUCUAUAGCAGAAUGUCUUUGAAAUGCUUUAUUAUCUUGAAUUUCGAAUAGCAGGAUGACUGACACUUACCAGUCAAAUGGAUAUCUUUUUUUUUCCUUUCCUUCUUAAGUCACCAAGGGCUUUCCCCAAGGUUAUCAUAAGCACUGAAAGAGCUUUAUUUAGAACAUAAAGUGUGUGAACUUCUAAUUGCUUCCUUAGCUUCUAAGCCAGGCAUUCUCCCUUAAAACCCAUGGCUGUUCAGUUAAGUUGUAAAGAAAGGAAAAAAACAGACCCUUGGAAGUGUCUUUUUUUUUUAAUUACCAUAACAUCUUUUCUUUCAAGUUGAGAACUAGGAAAUAUCUAAUGAAAUGAAAAAUAAAGGCACUAGGUAGUAGUACAAUUUGUCUCCUCUUUUCUAUAUUUCUCUCAAUAUAUGUAGGAAGAUGGAGUGGUCUCAUAGAUCAGUUAUCUAAACCUGUUCAAGUACAUCAAAACUAACCAAACUUUUUUUUUUGACCCAAACUUAACUCAAAAUGUGUAAUUUUUUUUUUUUUAAGAUUUUAUUUAUUUAUUUGACAAAGAGAGAGAGUUAGUGAGAGCAGGAACACAAGUGGGGGAGUGGGAGAGGGAGAAGCAGGCUUCCCGCCGAGCAGGGAGCCCGAUGCGGGGCUCGAUCUCAGGACCCUGGGAUCAUGACCUGAGCCGAAGGCAGAUGCUUAACGACUGAGCCACCCAGGCGCCCCUCAAAAUGUGUAAAUUUUAAAAACAAGUGUGUCCCAGAGAUAAUCCAUCAAGUCCAUUAUUCGAAGACUUCACAGUUUAUCUUUUUCCUUUUUUUUUUUUUUUUUAAAGAUUUUAUUUAUUUGACAGAGAGAGAGGGAACACAAGCGAGGGGAGCAGGAGAGGGAGAAGCAGGCUUCCCGCGGAGCAGGGAGCCCAAUGCGGGGCUUGAUCCCAGGACCCUGGGAUCAUGACCUGGGCCAAAGGCAGACGCUUAACGACUGAGCCACCCAGGCGCCCCCACAGUUUAUCUUUUAUAGAGGAAAUUAAGUAGUAUAAAUUUUUAAAACCAAACUUCAGUACUAAGUGGGACAGUAACUGCUAUGUAUAGAGUGACUAGAAGUUAUGAUGGGCUUUUUAAAAUACUCCAUGUCUAAUGCUGUCAAACUCAAACAGAUUCUUGCAGGAUAAGACUUACCUUAAUUUAUAACGUAUGUAGAAUAUAGCAUGAUAAGAUAAGCUAUUGAUCUGAGAGUUCUAUGGUAUUUUGUUCUUUCUAGGAAAUAAUCAGACAGGCAGAAUAUCACUUAAUUUGUUUUAAAGAGAUCUAUCAACAGGGAGAACAAAUAAUGAAAUUCCAUAAUUUCUAAAUUAAUACAAAAAAUUCCUACAGUGAACUAUAUUUUAGGCAUAGUAUCAGAAAAAAUACCUUCGACAAAAACAGUUGUUAAAAUGUAUAAAUUUUAAUCAUUAAUACAUAGUCAUUUUCUUAAGAGAUGUAACAGUAUAUUUGUUUCAGAUGCCUUUCCCGAAUUUAUUUAAAGUUUCUCAUUGAUUUUAUGAUGACUUUUCUCUGUAUCACAAUGAAUAAGUAACUACAUUUCUUGCAAAAUUAUUUAGUCUUGACAUUAAAAUAUAGAACUUUGUACAGGGUUGACACAUAUAUGAAUAUAUAUUAAUUAAAAUAUGUAUGAUAUAUACUUUCUUUCUUUUAUUUCAAAAUUUCUAUCACUAUUUUUCAGCCAAAACUUAUGAGUUGGAAAAUGAUUCUGAGGAAAUUCAAAUAAUAUCAGGUUACAUCACACAGAAGUCAUUUGCAUCUUUAUAUUCUCUCAUAAUUACCUUGCCUCCUGACUCUCUUGUCUUGAAUUCUUUUCCUUCACUAUUACUUGGUCUUCUGCCAGUCUCUUUCUGGAUGGGACUUCAGAAGAAUCCCCUCAGUCUUGUCUUACAGUCCAAUUAACAAUCAAAGUCAAUUUAAAAAUGUGUGAAACAAGAGAUCUCUUUUCCCAUCCAAGUUUUAUCCCUCCUUCUUGUGGUAGAAUGAUGGAGUGAUAACAUUGGGAAACAAUGAUUUACAGAUUUGCCUUCCCUAUUGAUCUCUAGUGCAAGGUCAACCAGAUGGUCAUGUGUCCUAUGGGAGAAUGCACUUCAGAUGUUAUUAAUUAGUUACAUUUGUACAAGCUAAAUCUUGCAGGUUAAAGAACUGUGAUUCCUAUUAGAUACUACAUUUUGUAAUUGUUACCAUUCUAAUUUUAUGCCAAAUAGCUUUUCAAAUAAAUAUAAAGUUCAUGCAAAGACUUUUUGAUUUAGUUGAAUUUUUACUGAAAAAAAAAAAUCCAGUAGUUUGACAGAUUCACAUAUCAUAGCAUUUUUGUCAUUGUAUUUUUUUCCUCAGAACAUCUUUGGAAUCUAUAAGGGUCAUAAGGAAAGUCAAGGCUACUUAUGUACGAUAGACAAAUUUGUUUUGCUUGUUCAUAUACAAGGGAAACCAUUGUUGAAAUGAUUUUGCCUUUAUCCAGUAGGGAUUUUAGAAUGUAGUAUUUUACAAAGCCGGAAUAAAUACUGUAUAAUUUGAUAAAAGGUUUCAGUUGCAUGUCAUUUUACAAAAAGUUUUUGAGCUUGAGAAAAAUGGAAAUAUUGUCUAUAUUUUAGAAGAUAUAAAAUGUGAUUCUGAGUUAAAUGUGUUAAGUAUUGUUUCUGUUUUAAAAUGAGGUAUAUUCUUAUAAUAAGAUUACUUUUUCACUUAGUAAUUCAGAUUGUUAAUCUAAGAUAUUCAAUUUAUUGACAUGAGGUUGUCUAUAAUACUACCUUACUAUCCUCACUAUGUCUGUAGGAUCUGUAGUAAUGUUCUUUACUUCAUUUAUGAAAUUGAAAAUUUGUGUCUACUUCCUUUAUGUUCCAUGCAGAGAUCAGUUUUUUCCUUUUUAUUGAUCUGUUAAAAUAAUCAGCUUUUGGUUUUGUUUUUAUUAUUAUUAUUCUGUUUAAUAUUUCUUUGGUAUAUGCUCUAAAAUGAAAUUGUCUUAUUUCUUCUUGCUUUGUGUUUAAUUUGCUCUUCUUUUUGGAAAUUCUUAACAUGGAAACAUAGGUCACUGAUUUGAGAACUUUUUUUCUAAUAUAACCAGUUAUGCUACAAAUUUCCCUUGAAACGGUGUGUAGCAGUGCUCCACAUAUUUUGAUAAAAUGUGUUCUGAUUUUCAGUCAGUUCAAAAUGUCUUCUAAUUGCUCCCCUUAUUUUUUCUUUUAAUCACAAGUUAUUUAGAAAUAUGUUGUAUAAUUUGAAGAUAUUUGUGUAUCUUUUAUUUAUCUUUCUGUUGUAGGUCUUUGUUUCAGUCUCUUGUUGUCAAAGAACAUACAUAAUAUGCUUCAGGUUCUCUAAAAACUAUUAAAACUCAUUUUAUGGCACUGACUAUAGCCUAUAUAGAAAAUAAUGUAUAUUCUGCUUUUGUCACAUGGAAUGUUUUAUUAAUGCCAGUUAGAUUCAAUCAGUUGAUGGUUUGCAAUGUUUUCUAUAUUCUUACUGAUUUUCUCUCUAGUUGUUCUUUCAAUUACUGACAGAAGAAAUUGAACUCCCCAUCUAUAAUUAUGGAUUUGCCUAUUUCUCUUUUCAAAGAGGUCUAUCAAGUUUUACUUCAUGUUUUUGAAUUUCUGUUAUUAGAUACUGGCAUAUCUCUGAUUAUUCCUGGUAAUAAUUAGAGUUCUAAAAUAUAUUUUUGUCUUUAUGUAACAUUUCUGUCUUUCUGUAUAAUGAAAAAUACCAACAAAAUUUUAGUUAUAAUUAAGUGGGAAAAAUGUUUGUCAUGAUUCUAAUGGCCUCUGGAAAGUUUUUAUUAAAAUAUUAGGAAAUAUGUUUAAACAUAUAUUUUUGAUGUUUGUGAAAGUAUGAACAUUUGAUUGGCAGUGUAGUGUUAUGAGAACAGCAUUUACAUGGAUUAUCAGGAUUUUCAAACUUUGGUCCCUCACUAAUUAACCCUGAAACUUCGUUAGGGCCUCAGUUCUCCCAACCAGUUAAAAAAUUUGGAGGCUAACUUAAUUCUAAGACCUCUUACUAAUUAAAUUUGAUGUUUAAGCUUAGUUUUGCUUUAUAAUAUCAUCUCCUUUGAGAAAGUCUUCUACAAUAACUCCUUUCAGUGCUUUCAAAAACAUUUUAUGAGAAGGACCUGGGCAAGGGAAAGAACAAAACUAAACAAACAAUUUUUAAAAAUUCAUGGAUUUUGAAGUCCUACAGAGGUGGUUUUAAAUCAUAGUUGCCUGCUACUUUCUGGGGAUGCUACAUUGGGGUAGUUACCUAAUCUUCCUAAUCCAGAAUUUUAUCAUCUGUAAAAUGGGAAUAACACAUAGAACUUUUUGAAAAUGAAAUGAAUUAAGUUUGUAAAAUGUGUUGUGUAGUAUAUAGUGUGUAUCUUAUGAAAAUGCACAAAGACUUGUAUUAGAGUUAGUAUUUAUAAAUUCCUUUAGGGUAAAAUUAUGGUCUUCUUUUGUACCGUAAUUACUUCCACUCCACUUAGUGUAGAGACUGCCAUUUGUUAUUGUUCAAUAAAUGUUGAAUUAAUAUACAUUUUGAUACUUCUUAACCACUAUAACUCCCCAACUGAUAGAGCCUCAGUACACUACAACAGUGCUUCAGUGAAUCUUGUUAAUUUAAAACAAUGAGAGUUACUAGGUAGAAUGCGAAAUUUCUUCAUCAUAGCAUUAAGAUACAAAUACCAUGAGAGAAGAAUUUUUGUUAAUUUUUGCACAGAUAGUUUUAUACUCAUAUCCUGGUACAUAGCUGAUGGUCAAAUGUUUUCUAUCUACUUCCAAACUUGUCCCACAUUAUACACUAGAGAUUCAAAGUAGUCUGGGAAUUCAACUUUUAUAUUUACUCUUUCCAGUUAAUUCUCAAAUCUCUUUAUCUGUUUUCUUCCCUAAAAGACAUUUCAUCUCUAUAAAUUUUAGAUGUUUUCUUCCAGAGAGUUUUUUGUGUGUUUUGAUUGGAAGCCUAGUUUUCUAUAUUAAAGGGAAGAGACCUCAUACAUACAUAGCCUUCCACAGUGCCUUGACUGGUGACCUGUCAGGGAUGUUGCCUUAGCAUGUCUAGAUAUGUCUAGACUUUUAAAGUAAUGCACAACUGCAUUAUUUUUUUAAGAUUCUAUUUUUUAAAAGUCCAAUUUUUCAUGAUAAACUUAAUAAGAACCCUACCUACUUAGUUUACUUCUUAUGAUGAUCAUGGCAUAGUUCAUGGCUUGAAAUUGUAGACAACUAUUUGCCACUCUUGGGACAUUUAAGAGUACCAUAAAACCUCAGGAAUGUGGAGGGCGUGUAGGAUAAUUUCUGAUCCACUUCUGUAUCAUGAUAUGAAAUAUAUCUGUAUAAAUACACCCAUAAAAUAAAAUACAAAUAUAAAUAUAUCCAUAUAAAUACCAAAUAUAGGUUAUAUGAAUACUCCUAAAGUAAUGGCUGUUAAAUAGUAUAUUAGAUUUUUUCCCCUUUUCCUUUGAUGAAUACAUUGAAAUUUAUUCAGGAAUAUUUGGUCUUUGGAAUACCUUUUGUGUACAGAAAUUAAUAGAUCCUAAAGUCAAUAUUUUAAUUGAGACUUAUUUAUUGAACCAGUUGAUCUUACAUGAGCUAAUGAGUGUUAUUAAGUUACUGAAAUAGCAAAAUUUCUUGCUUGUUUAUGUUUAAGAUUGGAUAUCAGCUGUUCAGGAGUUAAGUUGCCCAAAAUUACACAGUAGUUCCACCUCUGUCUGUUACCAUAAAGGCAGUAAUUCAGCCAUGUACAUAUUUUAUCUCUCCAGUACAAAACUCUAAGAUAUCAGACAUUGUUUUUUUUUUUUAAGUAAACCUGGUAAAUAUUGGAUUAUCAUUUAUAUUUGCAUGUUUUUAGAUCUAGAAACAUAAUAUCCUGAAAUAAAGAGAUGGGAUGCCCCACAUCUCUCAUCACUUUUCUCUUAAAUAAAGAAGGCUGGGACACACACACACGCACGCACAACAAACAAAACAAAAUAAAAUAAAGAAGUAGGAUGCACUCAAUAUCCCAUAGACUUCAAAAAGCCUGAAUAUCAUUUUACUGAAGAGGCAGCAGUCUGGCUCUACUUCAAAUUUUCCUUUGGCUCAAAACUCAUAAGUUAUCAAGGUGGCCACAGAACUAUAUAAAGCACUUAUAAAGCUCUGAAAACUCAAAAAUAAAUUCAAAUUCACCGAUAGUUAGAUGCAUGGCAGAAAAGCCGAUUAUUUGUGAUUGCUGUUAAUUCUUUGCUUGUGUUCACUAGAACAGUAAAGAGUCCCUACUACUAAACUGCCCCCCACUCCACUGAAGCCUGUGACUAAUUGCCUUAAACUCAAAAGGAAAAUGACAAUUAAAAGAUUAAAACUUUAUAAAAAUGUCUGCUAUUUGGAUACACUUUUCCUUAGCUUAUAUUUGCCAGUUUCCGACUCAGGGUUGACUUUUACAUUUACAUGUUCAUAGCACUGGCUUAAAAACAUAAAAAUUUCAGCUUGAGUUCUAUUGGGAAACAAGUAUAUGAAGUGUAGAGACUAAGCUUGUAUAGGAUUAUCAGUUCUUUCAGUGAUUUACUUUGUGAUUCUUUUUUGCCUUCUUUCAGUGCUCAAUUUUCAUUAAUAAAAUUGUCAGAGACUCCAGGUCAUCAAUAGUAUAUAAGUGAAAGAUGAUGGAAUUUUACAAAACAUCUUUUAUCUUUUAAUAUCUGCCUCAUUUGACAAGAAGCUUAAUUAAACAACAAAUAAAAGGACCCCUGUGAACUAGUGAGCUAAACCCGAAAGCUGAUGAAUUGUUGUUGGACAAUAAACUCAAAAUAAUAAAUUGUCUCUUUAUGAACUCUGGUAGCAUUAACAUUACAAGGCACAUUUGUUGAAAACAGUUUGUCUUAUGGUUGCCCAAGAGAUAAAAAUAAAGCCAAUUGUUCUUGAUUUCUCCAUUAAUCUUGGAGAAUGCUCAUGGAGAAUGCUACUGAAUUUUCUGAAAUAUUUAGUUUUUGGGAAAACUUGUGUUAAUGUGGUUUGUUUUAAUUCCCCUCCUGAUAGUUUCAUUUAAAUGUCAAUUAAACAUCUUUAAUAACACCUGCAUGUUUAAUAAAAUCAAACUCAACAAGGAAUGCUGCUGUGAGUGAGAAACUGCAUUCUUUCCCCUGGGAGAGUGUUUUUGAAAUCAGGAAGGGAUUGAUGAAUUGUGAGUAGGACAUCACCUAAAUCAUAAAGUUUUAAGUAGAGUAGCACUAAAUUUGUGAUAUAAAGAGCAAGUUAAAACUGUUAUAAAUACAAUGAGGACAGAAGAUGAGAGGAAAUUGCUAAGAAAUUUUGUAUGUCUGUUUUUCCCUGUAAUAUUUAUUGGUAUAGGAUUCUAGUAGUCAAAAUAAAAUGAAAUCUCUUUCAUAGCCUUGAAUUAGGGAAGUUUUAAGUAGUGCAAAGAAUGUCCCUUGAGAAGUAUUAGGAUAGAAAUACGUUACAAUGAUGUGUUCUUUUACAAAUUUUUAGAAAAAAGUUGAAAACUCUUAUUUUCCUGUCAUAAAAAAGUAAUUCUCACCCUCCGUGAGUUUUGUCAGAUUCCAGUAAGCUUAGUUCUGUCGCCAAAAGAUGAUGCUGUGAUGUUAAGCUAUUUCUAAAGGUACAAGGUUCCUGCAACUACAAAGAUAGGAUGCUCCAGUGAUAACAAAAUUAAAAGAGUGAGCUUUUGUGCUAUGUUUAUUCAGUCAUCUGACCAAAGCAAUUCCCUAAAAAAGUGUGUCCUAUUCCAUGAUUAUCGAUAGAUAUGUGUAAACAAUUAUGAUCGAACUCUCUGUUGAAUGAAGAUAGCUCAAGUGAUGCUAGAUGGCUUAACUAAUGUUAUUGAAGUAUAAUUGAUACACAAUAUUAUAUUAACUUCAGGUGUACAACAUAGUGAUUCAAUAAUCCUAUACAUUACUUAUUGCUCACCAUGAUAAAUGUAGUCACCAUUUGUCACCAUAAAACGUAAUUACAGUAUUAUUUAUUAUACUCCCUAUGCUGUACUUUUCAUCUCUGUAACUUGUUUAUUUUAUAACUAGAAUUUUGUACCUCUUAAUCUCCUUCACCUGUUUUGCUCAUCCCCCCACCUUCCUCCUCUCUGGCAAUCACCGGUUCUCUGUAUUUAUGAGUCUAUCUCUGUUUUUUGUUUGUUUGAUCAUUUAUUUUGUUUUAUAGAUUCCAUAUGUAAGUGAAAUAAUAUGGUAUUUGUCUUUUCUGACUUAUUUGACUUAACAUAAUGCCCUCUAAGUCUAUUCAUGUUGUUGUAAAUGGUAAGAUUUCAUUCCUUUUUAUAGCUAAGUAAUAUUCCGUUGUGUGUGUAUGUUUGCAUGUGUGUGUGUCUAUACGACAUCCUCUUUAUCCUUUCAAUUAUUGAUGGACACUUAGGUAGCUUCCGUAUUUUGGCUAUUGCAAAUAAUGUUGCAGUAAACAUAGGGGUGCGUGUAUCUUUUCGAAUUAGUGUUUUUGUUCUCUUUGGCUAAAUAUCCAGAAGUGGAAUUCCUGGGUCAUAUGGUAUUUCUAGUUUUAAUUUUUUGAUGACCCUCCAUACUGUCUUCCCUAGUGGCUGUGCCAAUUACAGUCCCACCAGCAGUGCAUGAGGGUUCCCUUUUCUUCACAUCCUUGCCAACAGCUGUUACUUCUUGUCUUUUUGAUACUAGCCAUUCUGACUGGUAUAAGGUAAUAGCUCAUUGUGAUUUUGGUUUGUGUUUCUGUGAUGAUUAAGUAAUGUUGAGCAUUUGUCGUGUGUCUCUUGGCCAUCUGUAUGUCUUUGGAGAAAUGUCUAUCCAGGUCCUCUGCUCAUUUUUUAUUGGAUUUUUUUUUUUUUUUUUUUUGGUGUUGAGUUGUAUGAGUUCUUUAUACAUUUUGGAUAUUAAGCUCUUAUUGGAUACGUCAUCUGCAAACAUAUUCUCCCAUUCAGUAGAUUGCCUUUCCAUUUUGUUGAUGGUUUCCUUCAUUGUGCAAAAGAUUUUGGGUUUGAUACGGCCCUCAUUGUUUAUUUUUGCUUUUGUUUCCCUGCCUGAGGAGAAAGAUCCAGAAAAAUACUGUUAAAAUUGAUGUCCAGGAGAUUACUGCCCAUGGUUUCUUCUAGGGAUUCUAUGGUGUCAGGUCUCACAUCUAGUCCUUAAUCCAUUUUGAGUUUAUUUUUGUAUAUGGUAUAAGAUAACAGUCCAAUGUCAUUCUUUUGCAUGUGACUUUCUAGUUUUCCCAACACCAUUUAUUGAAGAUAUUGUCUUUUCCCCAUUGUAUAGUCUUGCUUCCUUUGCACAGAUUAUUUGGUGCUGUAAGUAUGGGUUUAUUUCUAUACUCUCUGUCCUGUUCCAUUGAUUUACAUGUCUGUUUUUAUGCCAAUACCAUAUUGUCUGUUUUGAAAUCUGGUUUGUGAUACCUUCAGUUUUAUUCUUCCUUUUCAAGACUUCUCUGGUUAUUCAGGGUCUUUUGUGGUUCCAUACAAAUUUUAGGAUUAUUUGUUCUAGUUCUGUGAAAAAUACUAUUGGUAUUUGAUAAGGGAUUACAUUGAAUCUGUAGAUUGCUUUAAAUAGCUUAUUUUAAAUUUGUUCACAUGUUGAUCCAAUAUUAUGUUAUUCACAUAUGUAGAUUAAAAGUGUAUGUUACAUACCUUUCUUUGCAAUUUUGAUUUUGAAGAAUAUACCUAGAACUAAAGAUAUGCAUUUUUCCAUUCUUUGUAGACUUUGUCUUCUGUUUUUCCAAAAUACUUUUGAUAAUUUAUUUGUAUUUAUUAUACUAAUCACUAACAUUAAUACUGCCUUUGUGCCAGGCAUUAUUUUUAAUUCUGUAAACAACACUGUGAAUUAAGCACUAUUUUUAUCCUCAUAAAAUGAAGAAUCCAAGAAAGUAACUUGCCUGAGGUCACAGGGAUGGAAAAGGACACACACACACAAAAAAAACCACAUCAGUCAGACUCCAGAGCCAGAGCCAUUUUGGUAGAUGAUGCUAGAAAUAGUUUUAAGACUCACAAAAUCACAAUGAAACUAACUUUAUCAUGUUAAAGGUGUCACAAUAGACUUCUGCUUUUUCCCUUAGAAUAUCAUUCCUUCCUGAAAAUAAAGGAAAUAAAAUUCAUUCUCUAUACCAUCCCUAAUUAUCUCUUCAGUUUUGGAUUCAUCAAGGUGAGGAUGAGGGAAUUACUCCUGUGGAACAUGUUUCUUUCAUUGCAGUAGGUAAGGUCUCCCUUUGUGGCUAUGGGAGCAAGUCUGAGCUCAGACAAAGGAUAACUAUAGGGAAAUUUAUUAUUCAUUCCCUUCAGCUCACUGUGCAAAUUUAUCAGAGGAGUGUCUUAUAAGUUCAAUAGAGCCUACAUUUUCUCUUAAAAAUAAUUCAAACGUUCUUUUUUAUGGAUACCAUUGCAGCAUCCACUAAGGAGAGCACUGAGAUAUGCUCAAUUUUUCCAUUUCCUAAAUAUCUUUUAUAUGACAAGAUAUAAAAAAAAACUAUCAUUUUGGUUUUAGUUCCAUUACUGUCAAAAAUAAAAGCAUUGAGAAAGAGAACUGUAAGCUUUGGGCAAUUUCCAGCACUCUUUUGCCUUCUGCACUUUCAUUUAUAUGUUCCUGAGGAUCACAGUUGUUAAUGAAAACAAAUUUAAAAGCAAGGAACAGAAAAGUUAGACAUUUUCUGCCGCAGAGUAUGAGUUGGCAAGAAGGGCACAUAAAAGGCAGAGCUGAGUGCUGAGCCGUGUGCUAUUUUAGGGCAGUGCUCGCCCUGAAACAAUGUGCUGAGAUGUAAAAAGAUGGCAAGUUCAUCCUGCAUUUCCAAGGUGCAUGCUUCUCCAAAACGAUCAUUUCAACCUUCCCUCCUUAUUCAGUGGGAAUUAACUGCCCUUGAGAACUCAGUUGUGAAAUGUUACUGUUGCAGAGUGCUUUUCACUUUUUGGAGAUUUCCACUUGUUAUGUCAUUUAUUACAGAAUGCCUAUGAAGUAGUUAGGCAUGAAAGCCCAGAGGGGUAAGGACCUCCAGCCCGAUGGUGGCAGAGGCACAACUAGAGGAAAUGGCAUAAGAAGAGAAACAUUAAUUAUUAGCUGUGCUUGUCGAGAAUUCUGCAAAUGUAUAUUGUAAAAUCUUCAGAAAUACCAAGCCGUUAAUAGGAAUUUUAACAGAUUUGCCUCAUGUGAUUUGCUUCCCAAAGUAUGUGUAACAUGGUACCUUUAACAGUCCCUAAAUUUUCAAUUAACUACUUCUUUUUUUUUAGCAAUAAUUUGUGGAUUAUUAUGUCAAAAUUUAAAUAUAUUUAACACUAUAUUAGAAAUGUUUUUGAAUUCUCUUUGGAAAGAAUGAGGCUAUACAUAAAUAUCAAAAAUUCAUAUUUUUAUUUGUGUCUAAUUCAUGUUAAGUUAAUGAACAUACUGCCUUUCCCAAAUUACAACUCCCAUAGUCAAGAGUUUUGAUUGUUGUGCUGUGUACAUCAGGAUACCAUUUUCCUCUUUGUCAACCCCUGGAAUAGAGUAUUCUACUCUUUCCAUUUAUGUAUUACCUUAGAAGGAAAAAAAAUCAUUAAAGUAAUCUCAUGUCCUAGUUUGAAGUGAUGUCAGUGAAAAUGCCUGAUAUUCUUGCCUUUCUCAAUUUUAGCAGUUGCUAGCAUUUAAGAUUCUUGAUUAAAAAGUGUGAAAUAUUCUACCUAAUUAAUUCCUAAUUUGCUACCCCACUGAAACCAGAGUUUGAAUGUAAGAUUGUUCGUAUUUAAUCUUCUAUAUAAUGUAACGGCUAAUGUCAAGUCUCUAGUCUCUGUGGACUUGAUAUACCAAAGAAUUCAAAGCAAUAUAAUUUUGCAACAGAUAAUUGCUAUUCCUCUAGGAGGAGGGUCAGACUGCUGAUCUCAUCAAAACAACAAAACAAAACACCUUGAUUCUCUGCAGGAGUAAUAGCACUAAAGAAGCAAUUGCUAAAUUCUUUCAUGAAAAACAUCUUAUUUCCUUAUCAUGGCGUUUCACUUUCUAAAGAUAGAAUCAGUUAUGGAGAGGGGAUGUAUAUCUGAGUAAAAAUAAAUGUACUAUCUAUAUACACACAUACAUGUGUACACAUACCCUGUGAGUAAAGAUCUGUUGUGUUUCACUACCGAUUAGGUCUGUCCUGAGUAUACUGACUUGUAAAUGCACAAAACAAAAGUUGAAAAGUUAGGGAAAAAGCUAUUGUAUUCCUGGUAUCGUCUUUAAUGUAUUAUUUAUGUUUUCUUAUGUUCGAGUUUCAAAUACCGCAAAUUUAUAUUCAUAUAGUAAUUGGUGAUUAGCUUGGCAAACACUUUAGUUCUUAACAUAUUACUGCAACCCAGAUGUACGUAGAGUAACAGCUCAGUGCAAGUGAGCUGAGGCGCAGAGCAAGAAACUGUAGUGUCUUUGAGCCUUGCCUCCUUCCCAUUACUGAUGGUUAGUCAUGGUGAGAACAAAGGGACUUGCUGAACCUGUCAGAAGGAGGUAAUCCAUUGUUACUACAGAUAACAUGAACAGGAACCUCAAGGGAAUGAAUUGGGCAAAUCGUAUGGGACGACACCGCAAAUACCUAAAUUUGUUCCCUACGCUUGCUGCUUUUACAGCCAGUGAAGUCUUGCAGCCCAAGUUGCUCAUGUUACUCUAGUUAGCAUGAAUUGCCAAGGAGUUAGCAGAUUUCCAAUUAUAGCAUAUGAAACAUAAUCUUUAUGUGCUUUGUUUUCUAAAAUCUUCAUUUCAGAAAAUUUAGAUUAGAAAAGACCUCUUCUCUUCUGUAAACAGACAUCAUUUUGUACAAACUGUAUGAGGUGUACCAAGCUGGUGCUUCAUUCAUUACUGAAAUUUGAUAGUGGACACAAGUCUGAAGAUUUUAAGACUACUAGCAAAAUUAGAAACCGAGAGUAAAGGGAGUCCAAUACCCUGAUAUUCCUGACCUUCCUUAUUUGGCUCAGGUAGAAGGGGGUAUGUGUGGCCACCGUCCUCUCAAGUGUUAGAGACCAUUACAGGUAAAAAAACAAUUCCAACAGAACUGCCAUUCUUAACACAGGGACCUUUUGUUUAAUGAAAAGUGAAUAACACCAAAGUGAUUAUAAAAUGGACUUGUAUAAACUAAAUAACAUUUGUAUUGAAUUUCUUUAUGAAAUUAGAGUUUGUCUCUAGGUAUACAAAUCAUUCAAUAGACUGGCUUGAAAAACUUUCAAUAAAGAAACUUAAGAAUGAUGACCAGGCAUGUAAAAAUUCUGAUAAUAUGAUGCAGUGAAUAUUUUGGAGCUCUUUUUAUAACUUUCCAACCUCUUAAAUACACACUAGUUGUUAUAAUUCAAGCAAAAACAAAAUCUCAUAACUUAUUGGACUUAUUGGAUAAUUUAUUUUGGAUCAGUUGCCAGUAAGAGCCUUAAACAUUCUCUAAACAUUAUCAACCUGGCUCUGUAUUUACACGUAACUGUUAUUAGUAAUAAUGAUGCAAACAGUGGGAAGCAAUUGGAGUCUCAUUGGUAUCAUAUACAAAUCUGGGUAUAAAUAGAAGCCCUCUUUCUUGCAUCAAAAGCUUCCAACUUUUGCUGGUCCAUCCAGCUAGAUUGUUGCUACAUAAAUUCAGACUCAUGAGCUAUUUUUUUUUCUUCCCUGAACAGUAAUGCUCACAACAUUCCAAGAGACCAGAACAUUAAGCUGGAAUAAAACAAUGAGUGUAUUGUCAUCAUCAAAAGGAACAUUUUGAAUUUUAUUAGAAGAAACCAAUUAAGAUGUUAUUUUCAAGCACAGGGCUUGGCAUGGCUUCAGAAAGUUACUUCCUGGAAUCGGGCAGGGGUUUAGCUGGCACAGAGAGAUCUUUAGCUUAACGUCUUGACAGCUUUAAUGCACAUGCAACUGGAAUUUUUUUUCUUUAAGCUGAUUCUCUUAAAAGCAUGCUUCCUGCCACUGUUCAACAUAAUUGCAUCAAUUCCAUUUUCCAUUAGUACUCAAAACCUGCUGAUAUGACUGGAGUUGUAAAACCUUUGUGUGAAAAUCUAAUUAUGCAUCAUUUUUUUUUUCUGGACGAUCUUAUAAUGCAUAUGUUGUAUGCAGUUGUAUGUUUUUUAUUUUGAUAUUUAAAGUAGGAUAAGCAAAGAGAUCUUUAUGCCAGUAUUAUAUAUUUUGGUUAUUCAUUUAAUUGUAUCAACAAUAGUGGUGUAAACAAUUUUCUAUUACAGGAGGAAAAGAACAUUCAAUAGGCUAUAUUUUGUUGAAGAAGAAAGAGCACUUAUAUGUGUAUUAAUAAAAUAUGCUCAUUUCAGAUGAAAGGAAAGGAUUGCUUCUCUCCUCAUUUAUGUCUGUAAUAGCUAUAUCUCUUAUCAUUUAUUUUCAGCAGUUUGCCUUUAUAGAAUCUUGUAUGAUCAUCUGCAUUGGUUUAGCUCAUCUCAUAUCUGUCUACUUUUCUGAUAUGUAUUUGACACUUUUCUAUACAUAUAGUUAUGUGUAGACAUUUCAGAUAUUACAUUAGAAAUUUAAAGUAUAAAAUACACUCAUCUGGCAGUUUAUCACCUUGCGUUUGUUUUCCUCAUGUCCCCUCUUUCGUUUUUCUUCUUCUUUAAUUGAAGUGAGAAAAAGAUUGUCAAGGUUAACCUGAAAUUAUUCACAAAAUGGUGAAAGCCUCAAAGCCCAGGUGCUGAUGGAAUGUGUAGCAGGAACGGAGUUAAAGGUGGCCUAGAGUUAAGUACAAAAAGAAGAAUGGCAUGAAUCCUCUCCUUGGUGACCACCUGUUCUAGUCAGCAGGAUAUGCCAACUACAUAAAGAACUAUUAUACCAGGCGCACCAGGCCAUAAAAGAGGCACAAACAACUCAUAGAAGAGGUCAGUUUUGAAAUAAAAACAUUACCUUAAAUUGGCUUAGAUAUUUAUUGGCUUUAAACCCAUUGUAGGCAUUAAUCAUUCUGCUAACAGGGAUUAGAAUUUUUAUCAUGGUUAUAAACUAGAUUGAGAGGGGAAUUCAGUUGGAAUGCCAAAGAAGAGGCAUUUGCACUUGAGGAAAGGUCUCCAAGCCUCUGAGGGAAAGCACUUUUGCUGGGUUUCCUUUGUUUUGUUUUGUUUUGUUUUAUUUACCUCCAAAUUCCCAGCAGUGUCUGUAACUAUGCAGAAUCAUUAUCACCACCGGACUGAUCAGUUGACAAACAGCUUGACUCCAGUUUGCCAAAUUGUCUUUAAAUACCCUGCAUUGAAAAUCCUCAACUGUAUAGAGUGGUGGUAGGGGUGGGGAACUGGUUUUAUCCUCUCCAUUUCUUGAUUUCCAGAUCUCUCGUUUGCUCACUCUCCAGCGCAUGUGCGCAUGCUCUCUGUGCUCUCUCUCCUUCUCCCCUUCUCUCCCUCUCCUCUCUGCCCCCCACAAUCUCGGCCAUAUUUGAGGGAUAGAGCAAAGGCAUGAAGGAGCCAGACCCGAGGUUCAAAAUAAUUAGGUCUUCAGAAACAUCUUCCAUGCCCCCAAAUGAGUUCCAUACCAGAGGUCAUUCUUUCUCUGAGCUUUCCUUCCCAUCAGCAGUUUGCCACUACUUCAUCAUAAGGCUACAAGACAGAAGAAAUUAAGCCAGGGAAAAAAAAUCAGUAAUUCUGAGUUUUAGGAAUGAUGGCUUGGGUUAAACCUAAGACCUCAGAACAGUGAUUCUCAACGUUGGCUACACAUUAGAAUCAUCUGGGAGCUUUAAAAUCCUGAUGCCCAGACUACACCCAGAGCAAUUAUGUCAGUAUAUCUAGGGAUGAGGCAUAGAAACUAGUGUUUUUAAGAUACUCCAGGCGAUUCCAGUCUUCCAGUUAGGAAUCACUGUCCCCAAAUCCCUAAAGUUCACUUUCUGUGAGAGAACAUGAAAUCUCCGAGGAAUUUUUAACAAUGAAAGAGCUGUGUUCAGCCUAUUGCUCUAAUGGUGUCCAGGAUAGCACUAAACAGUAAAUUUUAGCUCCUUUACUCAACAAUUAAGAUUUUCAGUGCCAGAGAAAUCAUCAUUACUGUAGCCAUAAUGUAGCUUGAGUGUUGACAACCCUUUAAGAGUGAACAAAUACCCUUCACUCACUUCUAUGUGAAAUGUGAAGAUCCAAUUCAAAGCCAUGACCUAGAAAAUUAUGUUCUAUUUUUAUUUCCUUUAUAUUUUGAAAUGUAGGGGCAUCUCAGUGAGGUUCUUGACAACUUAAGCUAGGUCUUGAUUUACGUUACAUCACUGGUCAUAGAGUCUGCUGCUAAGAAAAUAAAGGUUUGUGCAAUUGAUGCUCUCUCCUAGACAAUUCAUUUGUAUGUACUUUGUGUCUGAUUGUGGGAUAACAGACCCUCCAGAAGGUAAGAGCUUACAGAUAGUAGUGGUAGAGGUAGGGAGAGUGGGAGUAAAUGUAACAUAGGGAAGGUUUCUUCUCAGGAAAAAAAAAUAUGUCACCUAUGGCAAUGGGAACAGGUUCUGUUCUUUUUUCCUAUAUCCUUCUUUUCCAGCCUCUUCAAUGACCAUGAUGCAUAAUAGAUGCUUAAUAAAUACUUGAAAAUCAAAGAACAAAUGACUUAUAUUUGCACUAGCAAUGUAGAGUACUGGAGGGGAGCAGGAGUAGGUUAGAAAGCACAAAAAUAGUGAAUCAAACUCUGUCUAGCUCUGAGUUCCAGGAUCACAAAGGGCCAGUGAUUCAGAGAGACCUUUCUUAAUAUGCUUUUAACCUUCUUCUUAGAGAAUUACCUUGGUUUAGGUCUCUGAGCUUAGUAGUGUCAUCCUAUUACUGUUAUGUGGGUAGAAAAGACAUGGCUUUUAUUAGCUUAUGAAACCUGCAUACUUACAAAUCAGAUUUCUGGAGUAAAAUACCAUGUGUAAGGGUAAUGAGAGAGAAAUAAACAAAGCAAUGUUAUAAGCAGGUCAGUAAACAGAACACAAAACCGAGUACUUGGGGCUUUGAAGAGUCAGUAUUGACUAUAAAGGAUAUGUCAUAUUUACAUGGUUAUAUUAAAACAACAUGAAUUAAAAACUUGGCCAUUCUCAAGAGCUUUAUGGUGUUUGUUUCAAUGUUCCAAUAUGAUGUCUUUCAUUAGAGGGGAAAAAACUGUUUUUGUGGAAGAUAGAAGUUUAACACCUUGAAAUGCACAAUAUACAUAAAAUGGGCAAAUUCUGGAAUUCACAGUUUGCUCAUUGGAUGCAGUUCAUGAAGGAGAAGAAAAUAAGCUAGUUAUUAAGUGAAACCGCAAACGGUGUUCUAGGACAUUGUGUGUUUUUUAGGAUUCUAGUCACAUCAAACUAAGAUUUUUUUUCCUAAGCUUCCAUCUAUAACUUUAUUGACUGAUCUUUAAUGGAAAGAUAUAUAUUUUGCCUUUAAAAGAAAUGAUUAGAUGUGGUGUGCUCCUAUUAUUUAGGACUUGGUAGCAAGUCUUGCAAAGUAUAUAAACAAAACAAAGUAAAUGAAGAACUGACAAAUAACUAAUAAAUGCUUAAAAUAUUUCCAGGAAUAAAAUACCAAUAUCUGGCUUCAUAGACUUUAUGAAUGCAACUCAAUGUAUCAAAAUGCAAAUUUCACAAAUGGAAAAUACUUUUGUAACAUACUAAAUUAGCCACAUUGGUUAAUUUUAGGGUCAUGAGUCAAAGGAAUAUUUCCUUUAUCAUUUAUUCAUUUGAGAGUAUCAUUGAUAAAACUCAAGUCAUCAUUUAAUUCUAACAUGACAAAUGGAAAAAUUGCUUGACUUUUAAAAUAAUAUUCAGGUUCCUAAUAUAUUUCUGGAGUUCACCCACCAAAAUGAAGUGCAGUAAUUCCUUGUACCACCCUCUUUAACAGGCAAAACUGUGACUCAUUUCCCCCACCCAAUUAACACCAGAUUGUUUAGUGCAGUGUAUAAAAUGAGGUGUUAUAGCUCAGUUGUUCCCAGUUUAUUUUUAAGCCACUUAGGCAAUAUAUCCAACAUCUUCUCUUCCUGGGAACACAUACUAAAAUACAAAUUAUACAUUUUUCCAUAUUUCAUUCUUGGGUCUGUGCUAUCUCAGUAGUAAAGAGGAAAAACGUGAUGGAGAAUUUAUAGGGCAGUGCGAUGAACUAGUCAUGGAAGAACUAUAUUUUAUGCAUUCACUUGUUACGUAGAAGGAUUUUAUUUACUUAUAUUUAAUGGAUGAUUCACAGGACAGUUGUGAAUAGGCCCUCCUAACCAUUACCUUUGCUUCAUUUAAACCAAAAUGGAACAGCUGUUUCUGUUUUGUACACUCUAUAGCUAAGGCAAAUAGGUCAGGCUUAGGAGCACAGUGCCUGGGUUUGAAAUAUUUCUCCACCAGUUAGAAGCCAUGUAACUCAUGGCAAUUCCCUCAACUUCCCUGGACUUUAUUUACUAGGCUAUAAAGUAAGGAUAAAUUAGUUCUUACCUAAUACUUUCAUCAUGAAUAUUAAAUGUGGUAAUGUAUGUAAAACAUUUAGCAAGACAUGAUACACAGUAAAAAUACACUAAAUGUUAGAUGUUAUUUUUAUGAUUUUGUAUAAAGCUGAGGGAAUUAAAAGAUGACUAGGAUACACUCCAUGUCCUUAAGAAAUAUAUUGUCUGUGUAUAUUAAGAAACAUCAUUCUAGAGGUGGAAAACUUGUGGGUCACUGGCCUAAAAAAGAAUGUUCUUGGCUCCAUAAUAUUUAAAAAUGAAUUAGCUGCUAACAGUUAAGAGUCAGAUUUUUGUUGAUGGUGUGUAUUUCUCAUUGUUCUUGAGAAGUCAGAGGAUCUAGAAAGGAUAGAUGGGGGGCUGAGUAGGGCUGUCCCCUUCUAGCCUGAUUUCCUUUCAUUUAUGUUCACCUGUCUAAACCUUGCCAGCAUGAGAGUUUUCUACUCUUGGUCUAGAGUUGGGCACAAUGACAGAUAAAAAAUCAUUUCUGGUUAAAGCAAGAGUCUUAGAAGAAUGCUGUCUCUUUGGUGGCAUUAGGGCAUAAAAGAGAAAAAAAUAGAACUCUUUCUUUCAAGAAUAUAUAAUUAGAAAAAAAAAGGAAAUAAAAAUAAUAAAACAAGGUUUAUAUCGUAUCUUCCUAAAAAAAUAUACACCAUGUUCAUGAUAUUGAACAUAAAUAGAACCAAAUUGAACAAAAUAAUACAUUUACUUUUGUCCUUAUUUAUGAAAAUAUUAGUUAUGAAAAAGUAAGUUGGGAAAGAGCGUGUAAGAAAGGUUAGUGAAUGGAAUCAAAAACAGCACUUCUUUUUUCAUAAAUAUGUAGGUAUGUGAGCAUAUAUUGAGGUUUGCAUGAAGACACAAACUGUCCAUAAAAUAACAGGCUAUGUUGACAGACUUUAGGAUAGAAUUUAUCAAGGCACUAAGAUCAGCAGAAGAAGUUAGAGAAGGUUUGGUUAGGCUGUGAUUAAUGAUGUGAUCAUAUAGCCUGUUAUUUUGUGCCUAAAAAAAGCUCAUAAAAUUUUUUAUUCAAUCAUUUCAUUGAAAAUCUAGUGUCAGAUAUCCUAGGUUCAUACAUAUUUAUUUAAGGAAAGAGAUCUUACAUUAAGUAUUCUGAUACUCAACACAGUGUUAUUAUGGAAGUCUGAUUCCCAAGUACUGUGAGCUGCAGGACUGAUGUGAUUUGGUUCUGCCCAUAUUUUGCUAAAUAUUGACAAAACAUUGCCUGGAGCAUAUAUAUACUAUCAAUAUAAAAAUUCUUGUUUUAUUAUGAUGAUACAUAUAUAUCUCUGUUUCUAUUAUACAAUGAGCUCAAUGUUACUCAUCUUUAAUAAGAAUUGUUUCAGAUUGAGUCCUUGGGUUCAUAUACUUUUCAUUUUUUAAAUCUGUGAAAUUAUUUAGAAAAAACAAAUCUUCUGGAUAUGGUCUUCAUAAACUACAUCUAAAUUCUCCCUUGUUAUUCUUUGUGUCAAUUCUUAUUGACAAUUACAUCAAGAUGUAAGUACAAAGAAAAAAAUAUUUCCAAGUUCAUAGAGUUUAGAAAUUUUUAUUAUGUAUUCACUCAACAUGGUUAUGAUCCAUUGUUCUAUACUAUCUGACUGUACUAUCAAUUAAUAAAGGUACUGAAUAGCAAAUUAAAAAGAAAAUUAAUUUAAAAGUUAUAGUUAAACCAAGUAACACAGUAGCCUUAAUCUUUAUUUUUUUUAUUAUGUUACGUUAAUCACCAUACAUUAGUUUUUGGUGUAGUGUUCCAUGAUUCAUUGUUUGCAUAUAACACCCAGUGCUCCAUGCAGAAUGUGCCCUCUUUAAUACCCAUCACCAUAGCCUUAAUCUUUAAACUGUAAAUGCAACCUUCUUCUUAAUCUCCUUUGACUGAAUUUCCAUUCUAUUCUUUGUUUUCCCCAGUAUCCAAUCUUCCACUCAGUUAAACAGCUUCAGACUGUAUUCCAGCAGCUUUCCUCAGCUGGUUACCUUUCUGCUCUUCAAGUUCCUGAUUCUCAUUCUUUCCUUUUCUGCACCUCUGAGCACUCUUUUCUGUCUGUGUGCCCUGCCAUGCACACCUUCUCUUGUUUUCAUUUAUCCUUCCCUUCCAAUUGAGGCCAGAAUUGACCUGGGCAUGGGAGCAGUUCUGAAGACUGUGGUCUUCACUAAGCAGCCCUUUUACUGCUAGUCAUGUCCUACAGUCCCCAACCUUACAAGAAGACAUUUCUUCCCUCCAGAGAUCUACUUAUCCCACAAGGAACAAAAGAAUAUUGAGUUUUAAUGGACUUUCUGUUUUAUGUUUUGAUGGAAAUUCCCCAAUUUAAUAUUUCUAGUCACUGCCCUACAACCCCAUACACUGCCCCACAGCCCAGGAGACAAGAAUGAAUAAUUUUGUCUAGCUCUCGUUCAUUUUAGAUCCUUAUUUUUCUAAUAAUUACUUGAAGAAAAUUAGAGGGAGAAGAAGUAAAAAGAAUUACUAACUUUCAGAACCAGCAGGCCAGUGGAUCAGGCAGGCCAUGCAAGCUGCUGGACAGUUCCACAACCCCAUGCUGUCCUCAGGGGUCUUUGUGCCUCUCUCACUCCACUCUCCCUCCCAGGGUGGUGCUCUGAGAGCCUACCACCCUGCCAUACACAGUCUCAUCAGCUUUCCUUCAUUGGGAGGUUGAUUCAAGAAGAAGCAGAAUAUUUUUAAAAAGCUGGCACAGAAGGAAGAGAGGCUAAGAUGUAGGUUAGCCGAGUUGCAAGAUGGCAAGACUAGAGUAGGGCCCAGUAGACAACCCUGUGACAGCCACUUCUGAAGGAACAACCCCUAUGGUUGAACGAGGGUCAUUUGAGAUCCUAUUUGGAUCCUAUUGGAGCUGAGGUUUAGUUCACUAUUAUUAGGCUGAUCUAGGUGGCUGCUAAGAUGAAUUUUUGUUUCCCUUUUUAUCCUUUUAUUUAUUUUAUUUUUAAAUGUAUACCUUUUACAAAAGGUAACUUGAGAUGGACCUGCUCUUGAUAAUAGGUGUAUGAUUGAGGCUUGGUUAAUUGAUGGCAUCAGGAGACAGUAAAAUGAAGAAGAACUCCCACAGGUGGAAUGACUAAAGGUUAGAGGACAAGAGUUUUUACUGUUACCUUGAUUUGACACAAAUUAUGUCACCAGUGGGUACCCUGAGUAAUCACUUUUAGAUGCUGAUUUGAUUGUAGUCUGAAGCAUUUUCAAGUUCUCUACAGUUGCAUUGUUAUUAUGGAAGAAUAAGCAAAUCUAAUGUUUGUAGUUGGAGGGCUAUUUAAAAGAUAAUUUAGAAAUCAUAGAGUAAUGUGAAUUGUAAUGUGAUUAUGCUAAAAAUUGUGUGGGAAUACUGAGUGUGAUUGAUAUGAAAAACUAAACACAAAUCUUACAUUUACAUUACUGUAGUCUCUGUAUUUUCUCUUUUUAUAGCAUUUUAGAAAAUAUUAUGAAAAACAAUAAUUAGGGAGUGCUUACAAACUUUAUUCAUAUAGUAGUAUCUUAUGCCUAAAGAUCAGUCAGUCAAUGUUAAGGAUGGAUUGUAGAAAAAAAACUUAAAAAUGAGAACAGUUGACAUAAUUAAUUUAUGUAGGAUAAGCUUUGUUUUAGACAGCCCUAAAUUGAAUCAUCACCUUGAUUUUUCCAGAUCACAGAGAUAUUUUAGAAAAUGAGGUAACUGUUUGGAUGUUUCCAAAGAGAUUUUUUGGAGCAUUCUCCUCUGUGUGUUUUUGAAGUAAUCAUUGUUUCUACCUAGAUAAUUAAUAGAUUCCAUAUAAUACUGAGAGCCUUUUAUGUUAAAACGUAUAAAUCUUAUAAAUCUCUGCAAUAUUCUAAUCACUCUAUGUAUAAUUUGAUGUGUAUAGUAGGAAUUGAAGUUUUAUUUAUCAAGGAUUAGAAUUUCUGCAGAUUUUCAUUUAACAUUUUUCAUUAUUUGCCACUUUGUUAAGCAUCAUCAGGAAAUAUAUUUUAAAAAUUAAAAGAUUACUGUAUCUCAACAUUGGAUUCAGGGAACACUGCCCUGCAUUGUCAGUUUACAUAGGGAAAACUAAUGAGGCUAUAAAGAAAUACUAUCUGUUUUAUUAGAAUUUCUUUUACCAGUGAAACAGCUGGAAAAACAGAGUUAGUCGGCUGGCUUCCAUUUUCCAUUGCUUUCUGCCCUUCAAAUUCAGAUUUCCUCUUGUUCGUGACCACAUGCUCACCACACACAGACUCCUUGGUUUGUUACUUUAAAGCCACAUGGAGAUUAAGCACCAUUAGUAAAGACUAGGUUAGGAAAAGUUUUAACUAAAAUAAAUGGCACUUUCAGAGUGUGGAUUUAUGGAGAGUGUGCAUGUGAAUGUGUGUGGGCGGGGGUGUGGGUGGGUGGAAUAAAUCAAUUAGGAAGAAAUCAGGUGGUUGGGUUGGGUGCCAUUAGUGAUUGAGGCAUGUUUUAUGUUGCGAUCCCAUUUCUAACAGUCUAAUUGUAGUAAAAUGCCAAGUGGCAUUCUGGUAGCCAGAAAGAAUAUGCAUCACUUUCCUAUAUUUAGAAUGAGAAUUCUAUUGCUGAAAGAAGAACUAGAUGUCAUUUAAUCUGGCCCUUUUAUAUUACAGCUGAAGUCUAAGAGAUUAAAUGUCUUGGCCACUAGGCAAAUAAAUAGAACUUGGGUAUAUUUGUUGCUUGUCUACGGUAUUCCCGUAUCAUCAUCACUCUCUACCUAUCCAUGUAAAGGGUAUAUGGAGAAAUUAGAAAUGCAGCGUGAAGAAGAAAGAGUAAGAGUGGAUCUAUUCAGGCUUUAAAAAGACAUAAUCAUAAAAGAUAAAUUGAGUACUGUGAACUAGGAAAGUUUUUGGACCAAAAACAAAUAAAAAUUUGUUGAUGUUUUACACCUACUGUUUAUGGUUAGUAUCUAAAAAGAGAAAAAAAAGAAAGCAUUUAAAGUCAUCUGCCUCUACAGCUCAUGAAGUGCUAUUUAGCCAGUAUCAGAGAGGGUCCAAUUCCUUCUACUUUGGAAGCAUGUUCUUUAGGGAAAUAGGUGAAUUUUGUUUAAAAAAAAAUUUGGUAGAAACAUGCAUCCAUAUCCUCUACAUUUCAAAAGAACUUCCAUAAACAUUGCGAUAAAAACUAUUUAAAAAAUCAUGUAAGGGUUAAUUCCAAUAAACAUUCUACUAAGAGGACAAUGAAAUAACUGUGUAAGAUAUAAAGAACGAUUUAUGUUCUAGUUUUUUAGGGAGGCACAAGAAGUUUAAAUUGCACAUAUGCAAAUCUAAUUCACUGUGUUUUUUUAUACUCUUUAGCAAUAGAGGCCCCCCAUUUAAAUAAGGAAAAAACGUAGUAUAUCCUAACACACUCUCUUAUGCAACUGCUGCAGUUAAAACUAUAAUUCACAAUAUUCAGGAAGUAGUUUGAAGCAUUUGUAUUGUCUACCAAGGAAAGAAUUAUCUCAUUGCAGUAUAAACUGGAUAUUUAUAUCAUAACAAUGACAGAAACAGUUUGGGCUAUAGGGUUAGUUUUCUCAGCAUUCAUGUGUGACAACUCAGGCAAGUUAUAGCAAUAUAUUCAAAGUAGACAAAUGUCUUCAGCUACCUUUCAGUCAUGACACAACAUUAAAAUCCUUGUAACUUUAAGGUUUGUUUACAUUUUUAAAAUGCUUAUCUGUUUCAUAAUGGCUGAAGGGCAAUUUAAGUUAAUUUUUUUAUAAGGUCUGGUCUUUUGUUUUCAGGAAUUAUUUGAUAUACCUUGGAAAUAUCCUUAAUAUAAUCCCCUGCAUUAUUCAUGUAACCUGCAAGUUAGAAUCUACAUAAACACAGGAUGACAAGUAACACAAAAUACACAAUGCUGUAUAUCAAUAUGAUACCCCCAUCAGCCUUUCAAGAUACUUCCUGAUUUAAAAAAUUUCUCAUUGAGAACCUACCACAUUUAAGGUAUCCUGUCCUUUAUUGAGCAGAACAGUAAAUGAUGGACAUCUUGCUUUCUAGAAAUAUACAAUCCCAUUAAGGAGAUGCAGAGAAUAAUAACUGUACAAUAUGACACUAAAGAGAUAAGGAAAAAAACAAAGAAGUGAGUUUUACCUGAAGAAAGAGUACAGGGGGCACCUGGGUGGCUCAGUCGAUUAAGCGUCUGCCUUCGGCUCAGGUCAUGAUCCCAGGGUCCUGGGAUCGAGCCCUGCAUCGGGCUCCCUGCUCCGCGGGAAGCCUGUCUCUCUCUGUCAAAUAAAUAAAUAAGAUCUUUAAAAAAAAAGAAAGUACAGUUUAAGAAUAUGCAUCCAGGAAAGAAGGUAGAGCGUCUAUCUGAUAGAACAAUGGCGUAGACAUCAAUUUCCUAAAUUCUGUUUGAGUCUAAGACAUCAUGUGAUGGAUUGGAACAAUGUUGAUACCAGGGAUUAGGAUGAAAUGGGACUGGAGAAACUAACCUGGCUAAUGUGUUUCCCAGAUGUUGAGGUAAACUGAUUGACGUGACAAGGCAGUUGGUUGGAGUUUAAGGUACAACAUUAAGAGAAAGGGAAAGCCAGACAAGGAGACCAAUGUAAAUAAACUAACAAAAGAGGAUGAUUAUGAUUUAAAAAUAAGUAGAACUUCUGGAUAUCACAUUUUCUGCCUCUUUUCCAUUAAUUAUCCUCUGAUGAAAGAGUUUAGGUUCAAGAGGUUGAGGUACAACUUUAAGUGUCUAAUACAGCACCAUUCCUGACUUCCAUUCUUUUCUGGAAAAUAGGGAAAUAUUCUAACAAUAGUCAAUGUCUUACAUUCUUUUAGAAAAAAUGACAAGAAACAAAAUAUUUUUGCACUAGAGAAAUGAAAAAUGGUGGGGAAAAAAGAUCAUAAUACAGCCACACAUCCCAAAUUUUAACAGAGGAGUCAGUUAUUCAGAAUGGGAGUUUAUUUAGGAACUUGAGUAGAUCCAGAGCAAAGUACUUAAACCUGAAUCUUUAGAAAUAACUUGGAGAAAAAAAACGAAUGUUAGAGAACAUGUUUUUGAAGAAUCUAUGUUUGUGAAAAAUGAUCUAGUGGCUUAUAUUCAAAAAAUUCAAAAAAUAUUAGAGCGUCUAUAGGAUCUGUUAGCUAUAGGAUGCUCUUUCUCUUUUUCCCCUUGGAUUUCAGAGCUUUUUAGUACAUCAUUUUCCUACAAUGUCUGGGACCUACUUCUGUCUCCUUUUUUAGGCAAUAUACACACUGAACUUAAUCACAGGUCUAUAAUAAAGUAGAAAGUCAUAUGAAAAGAAGAAAAUAUGAUGACUAUCUUUGAAGCAUUGUACAUAAAAGACUAUAUAACUCUGAGAUAUAGAUGACCUUGGUAUUAGAAUAAUUUUUUUUAAAAAGACCCCCACUAACUGUUGAAGUGGAGAUUGGUCUCUCUGUAAAUACAUUUCAAUAAUCUGUGCUAAGUCUCCCAUUAAAACGUUGGUAUGUAUUCAUCAUUUAACUGUGAAAGAUUACAGAGAACUGCAAGAUAAAUCAAAUGUCACAGUGAUCUUAGUCAAUUUGUAAAGCAAUAGUUUAUUGUCUCUUGUAAAGAAACUCUGUACAAGCCAAUGAUUUUGUAUGUGAUCCUAAGAUUUUAACAUUAUGCAAGGAGUAGUUACAAAGCUGUAUUUCUAAAUGAAGCAGCCUAUAACUGAUAGAAAUAUAAAUGGAGGAAUAUAUGUUUUUUUUAAAAGACAUUUACUGUUUCAAACUUUUGCAGAGGUUAUUAUCCCAAGCUUAUGGUAUGUACUUUUAGAAGAAUCAGAGGGAAAAAAUAAAUUUUCCUAGGUAAUCAUUCUUGUUUGAAUUCCACGAUUUCAAAUGCUUUUUACAUUCAAGGGUAAAUGUUCAUAGUUAUACAAUUUUCUAGUUAGCGUGGGGAAAAAAAAUCAUGAUUUAGGCAAAGUAUAAUAGUUCAGUAGUCAAGAGAAUGUGUUUAGUUAAGUGGGUGAAAUUACUAGUCCUUGUAGUUUUGUAGUUUCUAGUCUGAUUUAGGCUAUUAUAUUCAGCAGAAAAUGUAGACUAUUUUCCCCCAGGACUCAAGAAAAUAAUUUGAAUAUUUUUGUUUGUUGUUUAAAGAAAUUUGGUAUUUCCCCUUCAAAAAAUUUUUUUUUAAUCAGUCGAUCAUUCUCAUGUAUUUUAUCACUUAAAACAAGAAAAAAAUGUGAAAGGAAGCAUAGUUAUGUCUUCUUGCUUUUCAUUGCUUUUCGGUUCUCUUUUCCUCAUUCUCAUUCCUCUAUAUGGGUCCCAAGUUAUUUGAAGAUUUUAUGUGUGUAUGUAAUGCAAUGGAUAAAGUGCAUUUAUCAGAAUUUCGGGGGUGGGUGGAGAAGAUAAACUGGCCUUAUAGGAUAUUUCUAGUACAGAAACAGUAGAGGUAUCAUGAGAAGGGGAGGAUAGGAUGGAGGGGGGUUAGACCCACUGCAAUAGAUUGUGCACAGUAAGGAGGGACACAUAUCAUGAGUUUGGGCUCAAGAAGGGUAUGUAUAGAGGGAAGAUGGCAAACGUGCUUUAAUGACUGAUGAGACUAAUGAGUCAUGGAACACUACAUCAAAAACAAAUGAUGUACUCUGCAGUGGCUAACUGAACAUAAUUUAAAAAUUAAAAUAAAAAAUAAAUAGCAGUUUUACUGCUUAACCUGAAAAAAAAAAUAAUAAUGACUGAUGAGAUACUCCUGUCUCACUCAUGGACCAUCUAAGUUAGCUGAGCAUCACAAAAUGCUGAGUGUGUCUGAAAUUUCUGUGGAAAUCAGCAGGAAGGUGGAACAUCCAAGUCCUAUCUCACAUGGGGUAGAAGUAUGUAGAUGGCUCUGAACCAAGAAGUGAAACAGACUCAGAAAUUGGGGUCUCAAGCAAGAUUCAUUAAAUCUUGUUAGUUCAGGGAGGCCUCAGUUAACAUACAGAUUACGUGUGCAUGUGCUUUGUAAAGAAACACACUAAAAUACAAUACUGCAAAGGUCAUAAAAUAAUAGCAUUAUACCUAGAUAAUGCAUUUAUUUGUUACACAGGAUAUUUGACUGCUGUUUUGGGUUUUGGAGAAAGUGAUAAUAUGCUAUAAUAUAUGAUUCAGGACAGUAUUUAGAAAACAACAACAACAACUUUGCCAGAAUCUGAACUUUCUCUGUAGAGAGAUUACUGAGCUCUUGCUUCUUCUUUGGUAUUUUUGGAACUCCGUGAACUGUGUAGUUAGUUCAUUAUGUGCCAAGCUAGGGGGAAAGUUCAGUCACUGCUGAAUGUGUGUGUUUCAGCCUUCAGACCAACAGAUUUAAAAAGUAGAAAGUAUAUAUAAUAAAAUAACUCAGCCAAACCUCAAGUGAAAAGCAACUUCGGUCAUUUUUGAGCCUUUAGGUUUGGUUGUUUAGAAGUGGUUUCUAAAGUUUAUUUUACCAAGUACUCUUUCAAUAUUUUAAGCUUUCUGAACUUACUUUCAUAUUCCUUUAUACACUUUUAACCUUGUCAUUAAUCUUUUUAUUGAGUUUUAUGGCCUAUGUUGAAAAGGGUGUGGCAGGUAAAGGGUACCUUUGGAACCUUGGAAGACCCUCAGCUUCCUUCAGGAACAUUUGCCCGUAUCAGCCACUGAGGAGAUCAAAACUAAAAAUGAGCUUUCUUUUUUUCUUGCCCUUGAUUGAGCCAUGGUAAAAUUUUAUCCAAAAGUGACAGCAAUAAAUGUUAAAGAUUUACAUAUUGAAAAUGUGAUAGAUUAAAUUGGACAAGUACCCAGAUUGUCAAAGACAACAGACUUCUUAGCCACAAUGUCAAUGCCUCAAUAUGUUAGAGUUCUGAAAACAAAUGGUUUCUCUUAACACACAUCUAAUCUGAUUCACUUCUGCACAUUUUAGUGUUUCCAAUUAUGAGAACAAUAGGCUGCAUCUGAGAACAUCAAACAUCUAAAAACUGAAUAAUAUGGUUGCUAAUUUUGCUUAAAGUGCAAAGAUAUAAUUUGAAUGGGUAUUCGCCCUCUCCCAACUCCAUGGUUGACUUUACUAAGUAAGUUAUUUUUGACUGUGUUAUUAAACAUUCUCAUAGAUACAAAAAUAUGUUUAUCACUGGGUAUUAUUUAGGAGGGUGCUACACAAAUGCAUUCUUUUUUCUUUUUACACUAUAUGAUGUGUCAUAAUUUCUGUCAUCACAUUUAUGCUUAAAAUAACUACAUCUCUACAACACUGCACUCUAUUUGGAAAUAUAUACAAUUACUUUGAUUUGUUGUAUUUAUCUAAAAUACACAUUUUUAUUAACAAUGCAUACUCAAUUAGUAACCAUACCUCUUUGAGAAGAAUGUAUUUUUUUUAAGAUUUUAUUUAUUUGAGAGAGAGAGAGAGCACAAGUGGGGAGGUGGGGGGCAAAGGAAGAGGGAGAAGAAGACUCCCCACUGAGCAGGGAGCCUGACACCCAGCUCUAUCCCAGGACCCUGAGAUCAUGACCUGAGCAGAAGGCAGACACAUAACUGACUGAGCCACCCAGGUGCCCAGAGAAGAAUGUAUUUUAAGGUUAAACUGAAUUAUAAUGUAGAACUUAUAUGACAGGUAUUUAAAGUCAAUCACAGGGACAGGUGGUAAUACAAGAAAGAAGAAAAUGACACUUUAUUAAAAGGGAAUCAUCGAUGAUAAGUAAUUGCAGAUUUUUUCAUAAUACGAAAAGGAGAUUGUAUGUAUGUGAUUAUAUGUAAUACAAAUUAUACAAGAUUAGGAAUACUGAGGCCUAGAUUCUAGUUUUAAUUUGACUAUUCCAGUCCCUUAAACUUCACGGUCUUUCUUUUUCUCUUAUCUAAAUGAAAAUAUCAAUAACUGUCCUUUCUCAACAGGGUUAUUGUGAGAUCAAAUGGGAAAAAAAGACCUUUAUUUUUAUAAUAUAGAAUUCAAGAUACACAAUUUCAAAUAUAUGAUCAAAUCAAAAUACUUUUUAGCAUUCAACUAUGAGACAAAAUACAGCAUACUUUGUCUCCUUAGUUGGACUUAGCAUAUUUCUUUAGUUAUUGUGGUUAUAAAUAUUUAAAAUGUUUACUAUGUCUAAGCGCAAUCAAAGCCAAUUCGAGGACAUUAUACUUGUGAGACAUGGAACAGAAGUAGUGGCAUAGACAAAAAUUCAGACACUUAAGAAUGAUAUCAGAUCUUCUGUGUUGUUAAUUACUAUAUAAAUACAUACCAGGAUGUAUCUCCUUCAUUUCAGAUGUCUCCACUACAUUAGUAUUAUAAACUUAGUGUUCAUGUCAAUACUUUCAUAUUAACUACAAAAUUAUUUCUUUUUAAAUCUAGAGGCCAUCUCAGGAAUUAUCUCUGACUUUAAAUGGUGUAAGGGGAAAACAAUGUCAGGAGACAUCUUUCUAAAACAUUUUAUUUUAUAAUGUAUAAAUCUGUAAUCUUUAAAAUAUGUAGAGAGACUUCUUUAGACAAAGAAUAUUAAUCUAUAUUUCUGUCCCCCAAACUACAUUUUUUUUAAAAGAUUUUAUUUAUUUGAGAGAGAGAGAAUGAGAUCGAGAGAGCAUGAGAGGUUAAGGGUCAGAGGGAGAAGCAGACUCCCCGCCAAGCAGGGAGCCCGAUGCGGGACUCGAUCCCGGGACUCCAGGAUCAUGACCUGAGCCGAAGGCAGUCGCUUAACCAACUGAGGCACCCAGGCGCCCUUCCCCCAAACUGCAUUCUUUAUAUAGACUAUUUACUAUUGUUAAACUAAAAUCAAAAAUAGUCUUUGGGAUGUCUAAGAUAACAUAAAAAUUCAAUAUUUAUAAAGCCUCUAUACUAGACUGUGUUAAAUGUUUCAACAUUGCUUUAGAGAGAUGUUUGGAGUCUUUUAAGAGUCUUUACCAUGAUAUGCACCUGCAGGUUGGUAUCUAGUCUCAAUUACUCUGUAUACUCAGGGCAAGAAGUGCUUUCAAUUCAUAGAAAAAUCCAUGUUAUAAUUAACUCUAAGAACCAUAAAAUCUGUAACCAGCAUCUCAAAACUGGUUUGGCGGAUUGAAGGUAAUAUUCUUUAACCUUUGCCUUAGGCUACUGUAUUUUUUAAUGCUGUAAUUUGUUAGACAUACUACCAAAGCUUUGAUUUGGGAAUUUUUUUCAUCUAUUUAAUCUUGGUUUAGGGAGUUGAAUCAUCAAUUUAAUCUUUUUACUUUAUUCUGAAUUUAGUGCUUACUGAAGGUAAAGCCUCAGUGAGAGGUGUUCAGUGGGUCACUCUUCUCAACUUAUUGACAUUUGUUUUCUCAACCUAUUUCUGGUAUACCAAAUUGAAAUAAUUGUUUUGGAUGCUAUGUACAAAUUGGUAAGCUCAAUCUGUUUCAACAUUUAAUAAGUCUUUUCAUUUAAAACUUCAUCAACAUGUUAAAUAAGGAUUCCAUGUGAAAAUAUGUAAACUUCCUUGAUAAAUCAUGCCUUAAAUUUUGGAUCUGCUCUAUAAAAUUACAUAGCUACAUUAAAAUAGAAAUCUUUUCAUUGGAUCAUUUAACUAUCUAGUAACUAUGUGUAAGCUAAGCACUGAGAAGCUGCAAAUAUAUGUCAUAGUUUAAUUAACAUAACCUAUUAGUGAUUUUACACAUACAUGUACACAUUUAAAGAUCUUAGUGGUCAGUGGUGGAAUGAGAGAAAAACUAACUAAUAUCUGUUACCUAGAACUAUCCUAAUUCCUUUCUUAUUGGUCUUGUUAUAAUAGUGACUCAGUGAGAUUUUUAAAUGUUUAUAUAAAUUCAACCAUAUUAUUCAGCAUUGAGGACUAGACUACAUGCUGGUUACUUUUUAGCACAAAGCUGACUUCAUCAAUUUUAAAUACAUUAACUAACUCAUAGAAUUCUGAAUCCUUGCUCACCAAGCAACUUCUAAUGGUCACUUGCCAUGGGUAACCUUGUGAAUGCAAGUGGCCCUUAAGACUUAAUUUCUGGGGCGCCUGGGUGGCUCAGAUGGUUAAGCAUCUGCCUUCGGUUCAGGUCAUGAUCUCAGGGUCCUGGGAUCGAGUCCCGCAUCGGGCUCCCUGCUCCUUGGGAGCCUGUUUCUCCCUCUGCCUUUCUCUCUUGCUCUGUCUCUCAUGAAUAAAAAAAAUAAAUAAAUAAUAAUAAUCUUUAAAAAAAAGACUUAAUUUCUGACUGUACAUACAUGCUCAGCUGAGCCUUUUUUCAUAAAUACCUGGACAUAUGAACACAUACUGCAUAUACAGUAUAUGUUUAUUGCACAAAUGCCAACUGAGAAGCGCUUUGCCAGAUGUUAGAAAUAAAAUAAACUCACAAGAGUAAAAAAAAAUGACUAUGUGCCAAGCUAUAAUUAAUUAAUUUGCUGACUGGUCUUUGCUGUUAGCAUCUUCAACAGGGGAUGCAUUCGCCAGUGAUUAAUUAUCCCUCUAUUUGAAUUACUUUGAAUGGAUAAUGUUGAGUAUGCUCUGGGCUCAGUGGAAUCUUACCAAAAAACACAGCUGCUCUCUAAAGGCUCAAGGGAGACAACGGAAACUAAAAAAUCAAUAUGUCACCAGCAGGGUUGUUGUCAUAGAUGCUUAGCACAGCAGGUUUAUAUAAACUAAUGGCUCACUAGGACCGCAGAGGCAGAAUCAUUGAGGCAGCAAGGCACGCAGAUACGUAAAUGUGGGAUUUUGGGCGGUGUUGCGGGGGCGGUGUGGCUGAGGUUAUAGGUGCCUAUGCUGGGAUGUAGUACUGAAAACAGAUUUCAAACUUAACAAAUUUAUGUGGGUAUAACAAUUACUUUGAAGUGACUCAUGUAUUUAAAACUCAUUAUCAAAAAGCUGUUACAUUUUUUACUUUAUUGGAAUUUAUAUGAAUUCAUCAAUGGACAGGUUUUUGUUUUUUUUUUUUUUGAAGAAGGCAAAAAUUAUUCUUUACACAACGACCUAGGGAUUAAAGAGAGAAAAAUGAGAAGAGCUAUGUUCCUAAUGUCUGAAACCAUAAAAAGAAACUAUAUUUACAUUUCAGACAUUGGGUAGUAUUCUGCUUAAGAACUAAACUAUAGGGGAAAAUUCCAAGUUGCAAAAUAUUCAACAAGUUAAAAAAUUUAAACAUAAAGAAACAUCUUCCUUCUCUCAUUCUAAAGAGAAAUGUUGUCACAAAACUGUAAUCUUGUGAAAGUUUGCAACAGAAAUGACUUCAUAAGAAGAAUGACUUCAACUCAACAGUAAAACAUUUUACUUGUAUCUGUGGGAACCAAAGAUUUCCUUAGAAUCCUUUUUUUUUUUUUUUAAUUUUAAAGGACAUGUAAUCUAUUUUUUUGUAAUUCAUACACUAGCCUUAAUGUUUAUUAUUCUUCAGGUCUUUACACAGUUUUCCUCAACAGUCAACAUAUUAUUACAACCUGGCUUGUGAUGUGUCAUCACAAUCUUGUGACCUUUAGGCAGAAAUUUAUGAUGUACAUCAAAGCAGUAAUAAACACAUGAAGAAAUUCUACAAAGAAACAGUCACUUCAGUAUUUCUGCUGAACAUGUGGCAGCAGCUUCUAUCUCAGUCGCCUUGCACCAGCUUCCACGAACAACAGUGCCGCAGUUUGAGAGUGCACGGCUUCUGUUCUCGGCGUCCACGUUUACUGCAAGUUGGAAGUUUCCCUCUGCCUGGUCCUUCUGUUUACACUGCUGGAAGGUAUUUGCUGCUCGUCUUCACUCUGGAAUUGCCCAUACAGCAGUCUGUGGAACAUGGGUUUCGUUCAUUUCUUUGCCAAAUUGGAACAUAGUGGUAUUUUUAAGAUCAGAUAGUCUCACAGCCUAUCCCAUGUUUAAAAAGUUAGUUAAGGGGGCCUCAAACUUUUGUAGCAAUUAGAUAGAGGCUAGUUAGGUGGUUAAAAGUCUUCUAUGAUGGAGUCAAAAAACUUUACCUUGAUUCUUUCCUUAAUAGCCUUUUGAUCUUGGACCAAUCUCCACUUUCUACUUGUAAAAUGUAGAAAUUCAAAGGGAUCCUUCUAUCUAAAAUAUUUUCUUAAUAUUUUCAGAGAAAUGGGUUUAUUCAUAUAUGAAACUUUACUGAGAUAUGUUCAUAUAUAAAAUCAGGGAUACAUUUCUUUUGCCUAGAACUUUUUUAUGACUGUAAAGUCAAGGAAACUUACUAAUAGAUUAAUUAAGAAGUAUUAAAAUUCAGUUGAAGAGGGCAGUUUAACAUAGCAGAUGUUGUUUUUUUACUGAAAUGGAAUUUCUGCUCACAAAGUGGCCAUGAUACUGACUUUAACCCAGACUAGGGUACAACCUCUUGCAUUUACCACAGUGCCUCACACUUAGUGUGGAUUCUGGAAACAUUUCUUGUAGGAAAUCAUGACUACCAAGUGAAAAUGAAAGAUGAGUGAUGAUUCUUGCAAAUUAUGGUUAAUUGAUGGUAUGAAUUCAUUUGUAAUGACAUCUUUGGUCUUUUCCUCAUGAUUUAAGGGUAUGCUUUAAUACUAUGAAGGACCACAGAGAAGUGAAUCACUGUAAAGCUGCUUCUGAAGCAUAUCUUAGGGCAAAUUGUAAGCCUUUAUUUGUGUCCGGGGGUGGGGGUGGUGGGGAGAACAGCAAGAAGCAUGCAUGAGUCAUAGGACAAAAAGACAAAAUGUCACUCCAAGGAGAGGGUGAGAGACCUUAUGUCUGAGUGUGCAAAGACUACUAGAGAAAUGAACAGCCUGUUCUCAAAAGUUCAUGUAAUGAGAGUAAAACCCAAUUUUUCCUUUAGAAGUUUAUUCUACUGGAUUAUACAAUUUUAUUUGAAAGUCCAAAUGAGCUGCCUCUGAUUCAGUUUGAAACUAUCCCAGAUCAGGCAGAGUCCAGACACAGACCUGCCUGGGCCUAGUUCUGCUCUUUGUGAUUUGGAACAAGAGGGCCUUAGUGCUAAGGUGUGUGCUUCUGCCCUCUGAGAUUUGGAACCAAAUCUAAAUUCUGUGUAUGCUGUAAUGUGCUUAGGCAGACUCAACCUGUCUUUUAAUUUUGGAAAAAGGCUGUUGAUUUGUUAGAUUUAACAUUUCCUAAUUUGUACAUUUUGUAUUGAUUGCUAACUAUGAAAAGCAUUACAUAUAGGGAGGGCUGUGGCAUAUCAGCAAACAUUUGAGAGAAAAUAUAUAGAGUAUUAUAAUAGUAAAAUGUGAAAGAAGUCAUUUAAACUAACUUACCUGAUGGAAGAGAACUUCUAGUUUUCUCAGAGUCUGAUAUGGAAUGUCACGCCGUGGGAUCCUCAUUCUUUUAAUCUAUUCCUUCUGCUUUAUACAUGAGUUUAGGUGAAUGCCACUUUCUAAUAGGAGCCUCCUCUUCAGGACCUUUUCUUUUUUUAAAUUUUCAUAUGUGCAUAUCCAUUUUUUUAUGUGGAAACUCUCCAAAUGAAACAUUUAUGUAUAAAAAUUUUCCAGAUAACUCUGAGACUUCUAUUGGAUGUCCUUACUGUAUUACAGGACUUAUACACACAAAAAAGGAACAAAGAAUAUAUCCAAUUAAAACAAGGAAAGAACUCUUGAACUCAGCCAUGCAUACAAGAAAAAUAAAUUGUUUGAAGUGAGACAUGAGGUAAUCGUGGCUCCUCAAGGGGGAAGCCAAUACUAAUCUGGCUUCUAAUGUGCCUGUUGGAGAUGAAAUGUUUCAUUGACAUUAGUACCUAACAAGUCACCAAAUGUUCAGUGAAUGCCCUUCUAUGAGUCAGGAGCUCUACUAGUGGCUUGUUUUUUAUAUGAUUUCAUUCUAGCCAAUAUGUAAAUUAUAUGAGGCAUAGUUGACAUGUAAAAUAUCAGGAAAAAAUGCAUUUUCUAAAAAUUCCAGAGUGUACUUUGAGGUUUCACUCAAUGCUCUACAGUGAUUCAAAGCUCUUGCAACAAUCCAGCCUCUGAGAAACUAAGACUGCCAGAAGGUGUAUUGCAUUUCAGGCCAAUAACGUACCUCCCAGGAAAUAAGGACUGUGUUCAUAGAUAGGAUUAACACAUCUCAUUUUACAAAUCGAGGUUAUUUGAGUCUUGUAGGGGGACAUUUUAGUGGUCUAAUCCAUACAGUAUUGAAUCAUAGCAUUUGGGGAACUAGGUGUAGUAAUCUAUACUGUCAGUUAUAAUGACUAAAGUCCACUGUGAUUGAGGUUCCUUUUCAUAUGAUAAUUGUAAAUUUUGAACUGCAUACAUGACACUUAAAAGAACCCAGGCCCUUCUUGUGUGCCUACAUGUUUCUAUAUGCUACUCUUUUUCCUCUUACUGAUAUAUUUAUGUCUUACUUAAAUAUAGUGCAUUCCAAAAUAUUUAUUAUUAGAUUAAAUCAACAGAAUCACAUGGGUACUUUAUUUCAUGAUUUUUCCCUCAUAAAUGAUAUUUGCAUCCCUAUAUGGAUGAAUUUCCUCAGCCUUUUAUGAUUUUCAGCAAGCCUUCUUUGUCACUACAAACUUUAUUGGUUUGACAUUUUCCCCUCACACUGUCAUCAUGUUAGUGCGCUGGCUGAUUAGAGGUUUUCAGCCUUAGUCAUUGGUUAUCUGAACAAGGAACAGUAUGAAUCUAAUUCCCUAACCUUAUUUCAACUCAUUGCUGCUGGUGCUGUGAAGCCAAUUGUAAAUGCAGAUAAUAGUUUCCAUGAUUACUAAGAUAAACACCACAUGUUGGAGAGGUUUGAUUUUUCCAUACUACAAAAGAUAAGCUCUGGGAAGAAUGUAGCAAUUGUAGCAUUCAGUUUCCUAAUCAAUUACAUAUGCAAAACUCUUUCAGUGGUGCCAAAACUUGUCUAUUAUUUCUUAUAAGCACUGUAUAAAACUCAGAGUGUGCUUAGAGGAAGUAUCAGCCUACUUUCUUAGAAGCUGGUGUUGUUAUGUUUGUGGUAAAAAAAAAAAAAAAAAAAGGCUUCAUCGUAAACCACAGCAUAAAGCAUAUCUUACAGGUUGUUUCUGAAUAUAAAAAAUGAUACAAAAGUAGCUAAGAAACUAUAGAUAGAGCAAUAGUUAAGUUUCCUUUGGAAGAAAAAUCAUGUUAGUCUUGUUGACUUCUUGGGUAAAAUAAUUGAUAAACUUGAGUGAGUGAGUGUGUGUGUCUCCUUCCCCAGGAGACAAGAAUAACACUCAGGAAUGAAAUUUUUGGUAGAAGAUCAUUCUUUUUUUUUUUUUUUUUUAAGAUUUUAUUUAUUUAUUUGACACACAGAGAGAGCGAAAGAUAGUGAGAAAGAAAGCACAAGCAGGAGGAGCGGAGGCAGAGGGAGAAGCAGACUCCCCGCCAAGCAAGGAGCCCGAUGUGGGACUUGAUCCCAGGACCCUGGGAUCAUGACCUGAGCCCAAGGCAGACAUUUAACUGACUGAGCCACCCAGGCACCCCUAGAAGAUCAUUCUUUAUCAGAAACACCAUUGUAGAUCCUAGCAAUCAAAUUAACUUUAGCUAUUUGUCAUCAAAGUUAUAAUUCCAUAACAAUGAUUAUUAUUGAAUAUUUACAAUGCAAGAGACUCCCCUAAAGGACAAGCUGAUUUAUUUCUUGUUGUAGUAUGAUCUACUUUUGGAUAAGGGCAUUAUUUAUAAGUGCAGGUAAGAGUGAACAUUUCAAUUGCAUUUCUCCCCCAAAUACACUAAAGGACACAGAUCUUUGGGAAGAUUUCCGUAAAUUAUGUAACAUGUAUUUCUAAGAUAAGCAGCCAGUAUGAUUUUUAAACAUAAUAAAUCACAAUGUCAUUCAAAUUCAUUUAUUCAUGGAACAAAUAGUUAUUAGUGCUUAUUAUGUGCCAGAUACUAUUCUAAGUGCUCAGAAUAUCAUUGAAAAGCACAAAUGCCCCAACCAUAGUGGACCUUAUAUCCUUGUGGAAGGAGACAUAAAAAAAAAACAACCACUAAAUAUGACAAAUAAUCAGUGUCUUAGACUGUGAUAAGUAUUAUGGAAAAGAAGACAUAGAGUAGGAUAAUGGUGUUCUACAGGGCUGAAGGCAGGGCAGACUGUGGUAUUAUGUGACAACCAGCGUAGGCCUUCUUGAGCCUGAGUCUGAGCAGAGAUUUGAAGGAGAUGAGCGAUAAUCAAGGGGAUAUCUAUGGGAAGAGCAUUCCAGAUGGAGCAAAGAACCAAAGCAAAGGGCCAAAGCUGUGAGGGAGCAUUCCUGGCAUAUUCCAGAAAGAAGGACAGUGUGGCUGAAGCAGAGUGAGUGAGAGAGCAGCAGGGGAUAAAGUCAAAAUGGUAUUGGUCUGAACGCAGGGUUGGUGCAGAUCUUAGCACAGUACCAUGAUGAGCCUACUAUAAAGAGAAGAAUGGGAUGUUCUGUAAAUUGGAUAGAGAAGCCUUAUUGACUUUUGACUCAAGGUCAUCCUGGAUUCGGUUUGGCUAUGUGUCCAAACUCAUUUUAUAUAGCAGUUAACCUCUUUGUGGUUUGUCUCCUUUAUUCUUAUUCCACAUUUGUGUUUUACAUUAUGGCUUUAGCUCAAAAAAAGAAAAAGUAAAAGAAAACUAUAUAUACAAAGAGAAGAGUUCAUAGCAUAAGCCAAGGUAUGGAGUAGCUAAAAUUCCAUGCAUAAUUUAAUGAAUGGCCUGGAAAGUGUUUUCACAAAGUGUUACAUGUGUUUGGAUUUUUUGCUUCUUUGCCUCCCCUUUCUUGAGCAGCAUCUUGAGAGCACAAUCAGGUGCCUGCAAUCUUACUGCCUCCACAUCUCUCUCUGCCUCUGGCCCUCCUGACUGAAAAGAACCAAGUGUCCCUCUUUCUGAUUCCCUGUGCUCUGGAAUUCCAUGUACUUUGUCUGUGAAGGGACUGGAAGUGUUCCAUCACUUACUGUCCCUGUCCUGUAUCUCCAACAAGUCCUGCUUAAAUGACCAUUUCCAUUAAUGCAUUCUGCUCAGAGGUCUCUCAUCAUUAAAAAAAUCGCUUUCUAAGUCCAGUUUGUUUGUUUGUUUGCUUUUGUUUUUGCACUAUUUAUCUGCUUCUCUUGUUCAGUACCAGGUUCUUUGGAUGCAUUUCUGUACUUGCUGUUUGCAUGUUGUCCCUUCCCUGUUAGGCUCUGAAGUUGGGAUUCUUCCCCAUAACUUCACUGAAGGGUCACCAGUCUCUAUUGCUACUUUAGGCUACUUUUCACUUAUCUGAUUUGAUCUCUUUAUAACAUUUGACACUUUGGGCUACUUUUCUCCUUGAAAAUAUUCUUUAAUGACACUAUUCUUUCAAGUCAUUUCCCACCUCCAUGGUAAUUUCUUUCUAAUCAUUUCAAAUCCUUCCUUUUGUGCCUACUCUAUAAACAUCAGUGUCCCUGAGGUCACACUCCAUACUCUAGGCAAUCUCAUUCCCUGGCAAGGCUUCCUCUCACCAUCUUCAUGCUACAAUCCUUUCCAGAUAUAUCUCCAGUUGAGGUUUCCCUUGAACCCAAGGCUCUUAUAGACAACUGUAUACCAGACACUUACGUGAACAUCCACAUCCAAUAGGUGCUCUGCAACUCAAGACGUCUAACUCUGAACACCGAUUCCUCCCCCCAAAUUCCUUUCUCUUCCUUCUGUACCUAGUAAAUGACAACCUAUAUAUCCCAGGGCCCGAGCUAGGAACCUGAGUACCAUUUUUAUUAUUAUUGUUAUAAUUAUUAUUAUUAUUAUUAUUAUUAUCAUCAUCAUCAUUAUUAGAGCAGUUUUAGGUUUACAGCAAAAUUGAGAGUAAGGUACAGAUUUCCCCAUAAACCUUCUACUCUGACACAUACACAGCCUCCAUUAUCAAUCUCCCCCACCAGAGUGGUACAUUUGUACAAUUGACAACCCUACAUUGGCACAUCAUAAUCACCCAAACUCCGUAGUUUAUGUCAAGGUUCACUCUUGAUAUUGUACAUUCUAAGAGUUCAUACAAAUAUAUAAUGACAUGUACCCGUUACCAUAGUGUCAUAUGGAAAAUUUGCCGUCAUGGGCACCAUUGUUGAUUCAUUUUUCACUCCCUGCAUUCCUCCCAUAUAAUCAAUUACCUUGUCCUUUAUAGCUUACAGCAUAAAAUUCCCUAAAUUACUUCAGUGUUUCAAUGUCAAUUUUUGUGAAAUUAUAUUCAUUUUUAUUCUAUAGAACUUGAAGGAAAUAUAAUAAAUUCCAUUGUGAAAAUAAAAUUCACAUUAAUGGAAGAGGCUGUAAUCAUAAAAGGUAAUUAAAUUUGAAUGAAGUUAUAAAUUUUAAACUUGUCAUUACAGAACUCUAACCAAAAGUGUGAUUUAGGUUGAAAGAAAUAAUUUCACCCUGAGUGGGAAUUUAGUACAUAGGAUCCAUUGAGAGGAAUUUUGCCUUCUUUCAGUCAUAUUGCUUCUAACUAUACUACAUCAAAUCUCACACAUCAUAAAUUAUCUCUUACAUUUUGCAAAGUUUGCAGAAAAGUUAAUUUGGGAAAAUCUUUUUAAAGUACAAAAUACUCCAUUAUAAUCAAUUAUCAAUACAGAACAAAAGACUAGAUAGGAAAAUACAUACUUAAAUUAUAUAUUUACUAAAACUUUUUAAGAAAAGAGGAAAUUGGGGGCGCCUGGGUGGCUCAGUUGAUUAAGCGACUGCCUUCGGCUCAGGUCAUGAUCCUGGAGUCCCGGGAUCGAGUCCCGCAUCGGGCUCCCUGCUCGGCGGGGAGUCUGCUUCUCCCUCUGACCCUCCCCCCUCUCAUGCUCUCUGUCUCAUUCUCUCUCAAAUAAAUAAAAAUAAAAUCUUUAAAAAAAAAAAAAAGAAAAGAGGAAAUUGUUGGUGUGAAUAUAAUUUCUUUAUUUCCAUCCAUCAACUAGUAAGUAUAUUUAAGGAAAAAUGUAGUUAAAAUACUUUUUGAGGGGCGCCUGGGUGGCUCAGUUGGUUAAGCGACUGCCUUCGGCUCAGGUCAUGAUCCUGGAGUCCCGGGAUCGAGUCCCACAUCGGGCUCCCUGCUCGGCGGGGAGUCUGCUUCUCCCUCUGACCCUCCUCCCUCUCAUGCUCUCUGUCUCUCAUUGUCUCUCUCGCAAAUAAAUAAAAUCUUAAAAAAAAUAAAUAAAUAAAUAAAAUAAAAUACUUUUUGAAGUAUCAGUGGCUGUUAUCACCAAAUGGCAUGAAAACAUUGAGACAAGAUUAGGUGAUGGAGUAUAUGAUCAUUAAAAUCACACUUUAGAUUGAUAUUUACAGGGAUUUAAAAAAUAAUCCUUCAGUAUGGAAGAGAGUGUUCUGUUGAAGUUAAAGAACUUCAGCCUACAAAGAGCUUGGCAGUUGGAGGAGCAUGAGGCAAAACAUUCCAAAUUUGAAGACUUCAGUAGGGCAUGACUAACAAAUAUCAUAUCUUGGAAUACAUAAUAAAUUAGGAUACUUGUUAAAAAUAUAUGGUAACCGCUGUAAAGAAAGUUUGUAGUGUAAUUAAGAGGGGGACCUAUGCAUGUUUCUUGUGAUAUGUGCUCCAACAAAUUUUGUAACUAUGUAUUUUCAAUGUAUACUCACAGCCUUGCUAUGAUCUUUUGCCAAAACAACUCUAAUUGCUUCAGACUUUACAAGGUUGGCUCAGAAGCAAACUGUAGCAUGUCAGAAAAGUGAUCUUCAUCACUUAUAGCUAGCUAGUGGCCAUCUAACGUGACAGAUGGCGCCCUGCCCGUCCUCGGCAGCUUGUGGGACAAAGCUGAAUGUCAACACCACUGGGAUGUAAUUAUUGCAAUCUCUUGGGUCUAGUUUGGUGUGACCCUGAAGGCAGUUCCCCGGGAACUGCUGGGAGCAAUGCAAUGAUGGAAAGAGCAAAGAAAUGAGAGCUUUUGGAGACCAGCCGCAUUUUUGUUUUACUGACAAGUGCUUUCACACUGCUUUAUGAAUAAGCAUUUUGCAUGUGAUAAAUCACAUUGACAAAGAAAUUUAAAAAUUUGUGGGACUUUCAGUGUGGCCUCUUUUAAAUAUUAUCAAAUGGCUUUCAUUUAUGUUGCAGGAAGGGGCUUGUUAAUUAUCAAAAUGAUUUUUAAAAAUAUUUUUAACGAUUUAAAAGCAGUAUCAUUUUCACGUAGUUGUUUGCUAAAUAAUUUAAUAAUUCUCUCUUAUAUUUUGGGACAUAAAUCAUACAUUACCACCAAAACUCACUUAAUCUGAAACAACCCUAUACAGGUUAGAUAUUAUUAUUAGCCCCAAUUUAUAGAUGGGGUGAAUGAGGCACAAAGAGGUUAGUUAUGAUAGAAAACAAGCGGUAGAUCCAGGACGCCAGCCAAGUCAUCUGGUUCCAGAGUCGCUGUUCUUAAUCAUUUAACUUCUUCUAUGCAGCCUUCUAUAUUUCUUUACAAUACUCAACCCACCCGUGUAGGGUGGUAGCAGCUAUAAAGAUUAUGGAGCUUGAUACUGGAAACAGAUAUUGUGAGAAAAUCUGAAGUUCCAAAGUUAGUAAAAAAAUAAAUCAUUAAAGAAAUUAUUAAUGUAUAAAUUGACUAAUCAUAAAUUUCUCCCCAGAAAGGUGUCUUUUAAAUAAUGUAUAUUAUAUAUAUAGUAAUAUAUAGUAACAUAUAUUAAGCAAUUAGGUAAUAUAUAUAAUGCAUGAUAUAUAAAGUAUAUUAUAAUAAUAUAUAUAUUCCGUGGGUGCUGAAAAUUUUUUAGUAAAAAAUUGAUAUUGUGAAAGUAUUCUUCCAUAUGCCAUUUAGUGAGGAGGACUUUGUAAAAAUGUCAAAAUUUUUUUCUGAUUUAUGAAUAGCACCGACAUUUCUCUUACAUACAAGAACAAGCAUCUGGAAGCUAUGCUGCUAAUGAUAGUUAAUAAGAACUGAACAUGGUGUAUGUAUUAUCUCAUUUAAUCUUCAUAACAGCCCAUGGACGAGGUGCUAUUUAUUAUAACUACAUUUUACAGAUGAGGAGACUAAAAGAGAAGUUCAAUAACUUGCCCAUGGUCUUUUAAAUAAUACAUAGAACAAGGGAGUACCUGUGGUAUAAAAGCAGUUGCUUAUAAUGUACAUGUAAUUCUGGUCAUUUCUCAAAGUUCUGCCUAUCCUGAUCAGUCAACCACUGAACAAGAGAUCAUGGGAGCCUAGACAGCAUGAGGAAAGCACCUCAGGAAUUGUAAAUGCUGUAAACACCACGGCUAGUUGUUGUGAUUUUUCUCGGGGUUGAUAGGAGCAGUCAGUUCUAGGUAGUAGGAAAAGUGGAGAGGUAAGUUCAGGUCCUCAAGGAAUUUACAGUCUAAUUGAUAAGAAUGUUCUGAUUGUGAAGAGGUCUAAAACCAUGGAUUAUAAUGUCUUAGGGUAAACAAGGGUACUAUAAGAGCCUCAGGAGGUGAUUGUGUUAUGGGAAUAACUCCCACCCACAUCUCCACUCUGAGGAGGGGGCCUUGAGGUGGAUCUUGGAGGAAGAAAAGGUAAGGUGAGGUGUGAGUUGGGGGAAGGACAUUCUUGUUGGGAAAGGCAGGAGAAAAGACAAAGUUUGUGAUGCACUUGAGGGCUAGAGGAGGUGCAGUUGGUGAACAUUUCAGCAGGAGCUUCCACUCUUGCCCCCUACAAUCUGUUUUCCAGAGAACAACUGGUUAUCUUUUAAAAACAUAAAUGAGAGCAUUUAACGUACCAUAAUUCAGGGAUUUUCCAUCCCACUUGGAAGUAAAAGCCAAAUGCUACAAAGCCAGUGAGUCCUUUGUUAGAGGCCUUACGCAUACCACGUGCCUGUGGCAUGUGGAAGAUAACUUUAAUAAGUGAAACAGGCCUAGAUGAAUGGAAGCAGAGAGGGCUUCACUUUUGAGAGGGCAAUAAGGAGUGGUGGGGACUGUGGCUCCCUCUCAUGCAGUAGAGUGCUGCCCCACAUGGAAAUAGCCCUGCUAUUGCCUGGUGCUCUGGUCUAUUUAAAGAACCCAGAAAUACAAAUUUUUAUAUGAAAUUCCCAUUUAAAAAUAUUUGUCUCAAUAAGAAUAGUAAAAAAGGGCGCCUGGGUGGCUCAGUUGGUUAAGCGACUGCCUUCGGCUCAGGUCGUGAUCCUGGAGUCCCGGGAUCGAGUCCCACAUCAGGCUCCCUGCUCAGCAGGGACUCUGCUUCUCCCUCUGACCCUCCUCCCUCUCAUGCUCUCUGUCUCUCAUUCUCUCUCUCUCGCAAAUAAAUAAAAAAAUCUUAAAAAAAGAAUAAAAAAAAAAAGGCACCGUACAGACAGAAUACAUCUGUAAGACAGAUGUCCAGAUCAGAACCACAAGCCACUAGUUUAUGACCUCUGCCCUGUUCAGUCUGGCUGUGCCUUGCUCUGCAACCACAGUUCAUAGCACCCUUUCCCCUGCUCACCACAUUCUCACCGCAGUGACCUCCUUUCAGGUUCUCAAAUUUUUUUUUUUAGUUCUUCCCUACUCUGGGUUGUUUGUGUGUUUGGUUUUCUAUAUGCCUACGGUUGUUUCGGGCCCUUCUCAUUCUUCAAACCUCGACUCAGCUUUCACUUCCUCAGAGUGGUAUUUCCUGACCCCUAUCUAAAAUUCCUACCCCACUCCUUGACUUUUGUUUCUUUCCCUUAUACCAGUGGUUCUCAAAGUGUGGUCAAGGGACCCCUGAAGGCCCUAAGAUCCAUCAGGGGGGUCCACAAGGUCAAAAUUAGUUUUAUUAGAGAAUAAGAUGUAGCUUUCUUUUUUUUCAUUCAUUAUUUCAUGACUAUAGUGAAGUGUUCUAGAAAUUAUAUGACAUGUGGUAUUGCAGACUGAAUUCAGAAGAUAUGAAUAUUCAGGUCUCUUCUAUUAAGCCAGAUACUAGAAAGAUCUAAAAAAAAAAAAAAUGUAAAACAUUGCCACUCUAAUUUUUUGCUUUGAAAAUAUAGGUAUUUUCAUAAAAUCACAUCAUUUAUGUUUUUAUGGUUAUUUUUAAUAUGUUAAUGCAUAUUUAAACUUUUCCUCCAUUUUAACUUCUAUUGUAACAAUCACUAAACAUAAGACCAAAACAGGUUCUUUGAGGUACAUAAUCCUUUGUAAGUGUGCAAAGGGGUCUUGAGACCCAAAAUUUUGAGAGUUGCUUUUCAGAUAGGCGUCAAACACUGAAAUCACCUCUUAUUUACUUGUUUCUUUUACUAAAAUAAAAGCACUGUGUGAUGGGGCACCUGGGUGGCUCAGUUGGUUAAGCAACUGCCUUCGGCUCAGGUCAUGAUCCCAGGGUCCUGGGAUCGAGCCCCGCAUCGGGCUCCCUGCUUGGCGGGAAGCCUGCUUCUCCCUUUCCCACUCCCCCUGCUUGUGUUCCCUCUCUCACUGUCUCUCUCUCUCUCAAAUAAAUAAAUAAAAUCUUUAAAAAAAAAAAAACAAAGGGCGCCUGGGUGGCUCAGUUGGUUAAGCGACUGCCUUCGGCUCAGGUCAUGAUCCUGGAGUCCUGGAUCGAGUCCUGCAUCGGGCUCCCUGCUUGGCAGGGAGUCUGCUUCUCCCUCUGACCCUCCCCCCUCUCAUGUGCUCUCUCUCAUUCUCUCUCUCUCAAAUAAAUAAAUAAAAAACAACAACAACAAAAAAAACAAACAACACUGUGUGGGCAGAGACUUUGUCAUAUUCACCACUUUAACAUCCUUCAGCACCUGGAAUGGUACCUGAAGCAUUACAGACACUUAGUCAACAUGAGAACAGGUGAAUUAAUAUAUGAAGAAGAGGGGUUUGAAGGAGAGUUACUCUUAGGAUAGGUCUGAGCCAGCUCUGUAGGAAGCUUUGCGUACAAGGCAGCAUUGUAAAACUGAUCAUGCCGCUAAUGCAGAAAAAAUUAAGCUUUCCAAAUGGGAAAGUAACAGGAUAAAAGUUGGGUACUGGAAAAAUGAUCCUAUAGUGACAGUUAAAUUUGUCUUCCUUUUCCCAUCCAUCUUUACCAACUCUUCCACUGACUCCCCCCUUGGCUUUUUGGGGGGGCGGAAGUUUGUGAAACCUUUGUAUGUGUCUUACAGCUAUAAAUACAUUUGUGCUAAUGAAUGAGGUCACAUCAAUUUAAAUGGAACAUGGACAGAGAACACAAUUUAGUUCGUUAGUAAGGCAUGACAAAUUUACAGCCAGAAACUCAUGUUGACUUUUAUAGAGCAACAUAAAUUAAAGGUGGCCAGUAUUAAAGUCUGAACUCACUCAGGCAAAAAUACACAUAUCCCUCCAAGGCAAGCAGCUAAUAUAAAGCAAGGAGGUGUGGUAUCUGUGGUGUGAUCUGAAGGGCCCUAGGGGAGGUCUUUCUCUCUCCCACCCAGGGGCAUGAGUGUCUAAACUCUACCAUUAAAGAGACAUUCUUUAAAGUGUCUCUUUCUGCUGUGCUCUUUUAAAAUACAAAUCCCAAAGAGAACAUUAAGAAUUGGGGCUCGGGUACCAAACUCCUGUAUUUAAUUCUGACUUCAUGUUAUAUUAGCUACACGAGAAGUUGAACAUCUCUUUGCUUCAGUUUCUGUGUUUGUAAAAUAGAGAUUUCUAGAGUGUCUUUGUGAGAAUUAAAUAACACACGUAAAAAUAAUUAAAAUAGCCCCUGACCCACGGCGCGUCCUUUGGCAGCUUUAGUGUUUAUUGUUUCGGCAUAGUGGGUAGCAGAGCAGGCUGGGUGUCAAGGAGGUCUAGCUUUACAGCUACAUGGCCAAGAAACUCUUAAGUCAGUUAUCAUGUUGAAACUUCGGUUUCCCAAUCUAAAAAUAAAAGCCUUGCUUUAGUUCAAUUAAAAGGGAGAGAAUCUAUUUAACAAAUGCAUGUGCUGAGGGAAAGGAAUAAAUCAUGACUUCUAAAAAAUUAAUAAGAUCUUUAGUCUUUUUUUUUUUUUCCUAAGAUUUAUUUAUUCAUUGGAGAGAGCGAGAAUGAGAGAGAGUAUAUGAGAUGGGGGAGGGUCAGAGGGAGAAGCAGGCUCCUCGCCGAGCAGGGAGCCCGAUGCGGGACUCGAUCCCGGGACUCCAGGAUCAUGACUUGAGCCGAAGGCAGUUGCUUAACCAACGGAGCCACCCAGGCGCCCAGUCUCAGUCAGUUUCCAGUUGAAUGGGAAAAGAAAAUAUAAUAUAAACUCUGCAGAGAGCUUUAAUGGAAGCAUCUCCAGAGGUGCUAUGGAAUAAUGGAAGAGGAAGAUGACAGUUUUGAUUAGUGGCAUCAAACAAGACAUGGAAGGGAAAGGAGCUUUCUGGGUGGACUUUGGGCACAUUAGAAUGGCGUUGUCAUGCUACUCAGGUGGGGCAAGGUAAUUCCCAGUGGGAAAAGAAGGCACUGAUCGAGCCUGUUUCCAUACUGAGGAGUGCACAGUGCUUCAUACCCGAUAAGAGACGGUGCAGUAAUAACGUAGUCUGGGAGAAGCAGCUCAGAAACAGCAUGGAGAACACAGAACUCUCCAAGUUACAAGCUGGGCUUUGGCUCUGCAAGGAAGAGGGAAGAGGGAAAUUUCUGAGCGUGGGAGUUUUUGAUCAUCUGUUCUCUCUUCUGUAAGAAAGUCAUCUUUGGUGACAAGGUAAAGGAAGAAGUAGUGCAAAAAGAGAGUCAAGUUUGAGAAAGUAGCCAGAAAGGGAAGGAACCUCAAGUUGGAGUUACAGAUGAGGAGAUCUCAGGAUUAGAUCCCAUAGGACACAAGCCCUUUCUGAGUUGAGGUGGGGGAGGGGAGCGCUAAGGGGUCAGGGAUGAUACUGAGGUCUGAAUCCCAGAAACUGGAAAGAGGCUAUUAAGUGAAUAGUGCUUUACGGAAAAGGAAACACUGGUUUGGGGAAGAAACUAAUACAUCUAGCAAUAAAUUCUGUGACUUUUAAAUACCAACAGGAGGAAGACAUAUUAAUCAAAAUAUAUCGUGGCUCCUCUGAUUCACUUUCCUCCUGCCGUGGUGCCUGGCACGGAGAAUAUCAAUAAAUACAAAUCCAAUCCUGCUGGAAGGGCUCUGCUGUGGGAUCUGGAAAGGCAAAGAAGAAGAAUGUAGAAAUGGGAAUGAGAAAUGGCUGUGCAGAAAAACAUCACCUACUGCACAUUUUUACUUCUGUGAGAGCUUUUAUGUGGCUAUAAAUGUUAAAAGUUACACAGAAAUUCGUGCUUUUAACAUUUAAGAACUAAUCUAUAAACAAGUAGGUUUAUACAUCAAACGCUCUCUGUUGGUCUUGUAAUGAGAUGCUGAUUUUCUUUGCUGCUAGAAAACAUACUUUCAUUAACAUUUUGCUAGUUAAUUACAGUUUAUUAUGAACAUUAAAUCAUGUGAUUACCGACAGCAUUGCCAGAUCUGUGUGUGAGAGGGGGAGGGUGGCAUUCUAGUUCAUUCAUCUAAGUUACUAAAAAUUGCACUCAGUUGUAACACCAGGAUUUUAUAUGAAACCACUCAGACAUCAGCUGUAGGUUCCUGCAAUCUGCUUGCUGGGUGUGGAAUUUCCCCAGAUUAUCCAGAUUACAGUCACCUCGCUUCCCUCUAACCCAAAUAACAGAUUUUGACAUCAUCCUAUAAAUGUCAUGAAUAGUCUUUGCCUCCAGAAAAAGGAAAAUAUAUGGUCAUCAGCUGGUUACAAAUACAUGACUAAUGAAUACAGAUAUUAAUACUCAGUGUUUUAAAAUAUAAGGGAGGGAGCUAGGAAGGGAAGGAGUAUUUGCUGUUCCUGGUGCUGCCUCAAGUCUGUCAUUUGUUUUGUUUGUCUUCACUGGAAGAGAGAAGUGCAGUGUUUUCUAUUUCAGAAGUCCCAAAUUGCUGCCUGCAGGCCAGAUUGACCCACAGGCAUGUAUAGCUCAACCUACAUACGCAGUGUGAAGAAAAUGGAAUAGUUGUCAACGUUUUUUUUUUUUUUUUAAGAUUUUAUUUAUUUAUUUGACAGAGAGAGACACAGCGAGAGAGGGAACACCAGCAGGGGGAGGGGGAGAAGGAGAAGCAGGCUCCCCGCAGAGCAGGGAGCCCGAUGUGGGACUUGAUCCCAGGACCCUGGGAUCAUGACCUGAGCCGAAGGCAGUCGCUUAACCGACUGAGCCACCCAGGCGCCCUUUUUUUUUUUUUUUUUAAAGAGUUGUCAACGUUUUUAAAUUGCAAGAUUUCAUAAUAAAAAUUAAAAUAUCUGCUUCUCUUGCAAAACUGGAAAAUCUGCCUGUACAGAGACCAGAGUAGCUGAGAAAUAGCAACCCCCUUCAGACAGCGCCAUGCACUUCUCACUUCCCACUGCUCUUAUCAUGUCUUCCUGUUAUCCCAGCCCUGAGACCAAGGCUCAGUUCCUACUGACCAUCCGUUUGUAACAUCUCCUGGCCUGCUUCAUUCAUUUGCAUUACAUACUUAGUCUCUAGGGGAUGGAGUGCUUCCCUCUCAUGAUGUCUUCUACAGGGAGAAGGUUAACUUGUUUGUCUGUGUGUGUGUGUGUGUGUGUUUAUAUAUAUAUGUAAUAUAAUAUGUAAAGAAAUGAUAAAUAUACUCCUAACAUCAUAAUGCUACUUUGCGCCCUCAUUUUCCUCCUUGGUUUCAGCAUCACCACAUGACUCCUACCUGUACUAGCAAAAUUCACAAAAUUUCACAAAGCACCUGUGAUGAGACAAGGGAAACAUGGGGAGGUCAAUUGAUUCAACACGUAGACAAAAGUAAGAACAGGGCUAACUUCACAAAAUCAUUUUUAUUAGUGAUUUUCAUAUCGUUAUACUUGGAAAUAUUGCCACUUUUAUCAGGAGGUGGGUCCCAAUAUUUAAAAAUUGCCUUAUGUAUACACCAACAUAAAUGUAUCUUCUCUUUGUUUGACAAGAAAUACUUUAUUUAUUUCAAAAUAUUUUCCAAUAACCACUAAUCAGAAGGUAUUAUUAUGGAUUCCCAUAAUGGUAUGUUAAAUUGGUAAUUGGUUGUUUAUUUCAUGUAUUAACAAAUAAAUGCUUUCCAAAUAGGCAUUCCUCCAAUAGGCAUUCCAACAGGACUCCUUCCCUGGAAUUCUCUCACUUUUUUCUGCUUAUCUAAAACUUGCUCAUCUUUGUUGGUUCACAAGCUUCAUUGUUUCCACAAUUUCAGCCUCACAUUGCUCUCUGCAUUCUCUCUAAGCAUAUCUAGUUGGCAAAUAGGUCAGCUUUUAAGCUAUAUAAGCAUGAGAACUUACUUUUUUGCAAAAUGUAUAUUCUUGCUCAAUAUUUCUACCAUAGAAAUCUUAUGUUAGAAAUGCAGUGUCUACAAGUGCAAAUGAAGGUUCCAUAUAUUUUCAUGCUUCAUAUUUUGAGUAUUUAAAAUAAAAUUACUACUGAGUUGUAAAAAGCUCUAAGAAUGAGCUCCUUCAACACCAAGUUAAUAUUUGUUUCUUCAGAAUGCACAGAUAGUUUUCAGUAAAAACAAACACCUUCUCCAGCUGCCCCAGCACCUUGCAGGAGUGUUGAUUAUAAUUAUGCAUAGGCAUCAUGGAAUUUACUGAUAAACCACACUUUAACCGGGUGACAUGACUACUUCUUAAACAAACUGUGAAAAAUAAGAUGUAAAAAUAAUUGUUAGAAGAUUUCAUUCCAGAUCUUUUUUUAAACCAAGAAACUUCUUUUUUUAAUUAAUUAAUUUAUUUAUUAGAGAGAGAGAGAGUGAACGAGCACACAGAGGGAGAGAGGAAGAGGGAGAAGCAGACUCCCUGCUGAGCAGGGAUCCUGAUGUGGGGCUCAAUCCCAGGACCCUGGGAUCAUGACCUGAGCCAAAGGCAGAUGCUUAACCAACUGAGCCACCCCAGCACCCCCCAAGAAACUUCUUAAAGUGAGGUUUUCAUUGUGCAAAAGAAACUUGUUUUAAUUUUAAUUUUGACCAUAAUAUCAUAGACAAAACACUAAACUCCUCAGAAGACAGUCUUUCUUUAAUCUCGGGCCUGGAUAUCACCAUCUAGUUAUAUAAUCUUGACAAAUUACUUAAUUUGCUGAGAAUCAGUUUCCUUAUAUGUGAAUUGAAUCUAUGGUCUGCAUCAUAGAGUUUUAUGCAAAUUAUUGAGGAAAUAUAUCUGAAAACACUUUGGAAUCUUUAACCUGUAAUAAUAAUAUGUAAAUUAUUUCAUCCCAAUUGUUAGGUAAAUGUUAUUAAAAAGAUAAUUAGUACUGGGGCGCCUGGGUGGCUCAGUCGUUAAGCGUCUGCCUUCGGCUCAGGUCGUGAUCCCAGGGUCUUGGGAUCAAGCCCCACGUCGGGCUCCCUGCUCAGCAGUAAGCCUGCUUCUCUCUCUCCCACUCCCCCUGCUUGUGUUCCUGCUCUCGCUCUCUCUCUCUCUGUCAAAUAAAUAAAUAAAAUCUUUAAAAAAAAAAAAAAGAUAAUUAGUACUUAUUAUGCAAAACACAAAAUUAGGCAAUCCAGGGGAUAAAAAGAAUAGCAAAAUAUAAUACCUCCUCUUACUACAUUUAUAGUUGGGAAGUAUAAUGUGUGAAAUUAUCUCCUUACAGAUCAGGUAAAGUAAAAGCAGUAUAAACUAAGUGCUAUGGACAUUGAAAAGAGAGAGAUCAGAAAAAUCUGGAUGUUUGAUAGCAUCCUUAAAGAUAGAAAGAUGAACUUCAGGGAAAGAAUAUUCCAGAGAACAAAGAGAACAAAGCCAAGACAUGGAGAUAGAAUGAUUGGAAUAUGUUUGUGGCAUAUUAAGUAGACCACCAGGACAGCAUUCUGAUAUGUUUAGAGAUGUCAUGGAGGAUAUGGCCAGAGAGGUUAAUUAAGUAUUUUAGGGCCUAAGUGUAUGUAUAUUUAGCAUAUAUGGAAAUGCGGUCUUUUAAAAAAAUGUAUCUGUGUGUCUCUGUCUCUUUUAGAUAUCAUUUAAUUUCACACAUUAGUUUUCAGAGAGCUUAUGUGACCUGUUUAAGAUCACAAAGCUAAUUAAUAACAAAUUUAUAGAAACAUGAUGUAAGGAAGAUUUAUAUUAUCCCAGAGCAUAUGUAAAUGCUACGAAUGAUUAAGAUAGUAAAAAACAUUUAAGAAAUCAUUUCAAUAUUCAGAUGAUGAAAAGAAACAUUCAAUAUGUGAUGUCAGGUAGUAUCAAAUCCUACAGAAAGGGUUCAGUAAGAGCUGGGGAAACAUUAAGAGAAAAUGAAAGAUUUUGGGCGCCUGGGUGGCUCAGUUGGUUAAGUGCCUUCAGCUCAGGUCAUGAUCUCAGGGUCCUGAGAUGGAGUCCCACAUCAGACUCCCUGCUCAGCGGGGAGUCUGCUUCUCCCUCUCUCUCUAUCUCUCUCAAAUAAAUAAUCUGUUAAAAAAAGAGAGAAAGUGAAAGAUGUUGAUGGACAGCGUCUGGGAGAAUCACAGCACCUUUAACAGCAGAAAGUAGACAAGGCUCGUUUGAAGGAAAGAUAAUGAGUUCCUAUCAACAUAUGCUGAGUUGGGAUUAUAUCAAAGAUCAGGAAGAGAUGUUUAAUAGACAUUUGGGAAAGUGACAUUUUUGUAGCUCAGGAGAGAAGUAGAAUCUAGAGUGAUUGACUUAAGAACCAUCUACAUCUAUGUGAAUCUAAGGGAAUAAAAAUUAUUUUAUCUGAUAAUAUUUUGGAGUCUCUAAAGUGUUCGUGGGUUUUUUGGUAUGUCUUUAUUAUUAUUUAUUAAUCUCCUACAUUAUAUCCAGUCUUUCUUGAUAUUUUUCUCUAAUCACUGUAUGAUUGAAGAUUACCUUAGUAAUGGCUUAAUAACCCUGAAGCAUUAAGUUAAACAUUGAAUAAAAACUCCAUGGGGUGCCUGGGUGGCUCAGUUGGUUAAGCGACUGCCUUCGGCUCAGGUCAUGAUCCUGGAGUCCCGGGAUCGAGUCCUGCAUCGGGCUCCCUGCUCGGCAGGGAGUCUGCUUCUCCCUCUGACCCUCCCCCCUCUCAUGUGCUCGCUCUCUCUCUCUCAUCCUCUCUCUCAAAUAAAUAAAUAAAAUCUUAAAAAAAAAAAAAAACUCCAUGAGGAGAGAGACAUGGUGUUUAAUUCAAUAUUAUAUUCUUGGAGCCUAAUGAUUGGCAAAAAAUACACACUCAAGAAUAUUUUUGAAAGAAUGAAUGUAGCAAUUUAAUAAUAGUUAUAUUUUUUCAACUUUGAAAUCAUUUUUUAAAGGCUUUAACCCAUUUAAAUUUAUAGCUAUUUAAUUUGUAUGAACAGAGCUAGAUUCUGGCUUGAUAUAUAUUUGACUUGAUAGAUUGCCACAAAUACUUCUUACAAAAUUUGAUGUAGCCAUAAAAUGAAGUAACUUAUAAAGUUUGGGUAUUUCAUUGGAUAUUCAAAGUGGGCAUGUAAUAUUGAAAACCAGUGCAAGUAAAUAUGUGACAAGUUUAACUGAAAAUUACAUUUAUUACAUUAUUACAAAUGAUGACAGGAUUAUUUCUAAUGUGUUUAUAAUAAAUUUUCAGAACUAACUGAUAUGGAAGCAAUGCCUUUUAGAAACACUUGUUUUUCUUUUUAAGGGUAGACUUUUCUAUGGUUUAGGAAUAAUGGUUGGAUGCAUAGAUUUAAAAAUCAAAGUUUUGCUGAAUAUAGGAGAAAAACAACUUUUUAACGUGCCCUAUAUUUAAAAUCUGUUCUGUAGUGUUGUCAGGAAAAAAAAAAAAUGACAAAGUAAUGUUCUUAUUGGUAUGUUCCUUUUUUGUGUGUGUUUGGUCAACUGGAUAAAGAUCUUUGUUAAUUAGGUGAAAAUCCAUAUUACUUCUUCCCGUGUGCCUUUGACUUAACGUCACAUAUAAAGCUAUGUCAACAUUGCUGACACUAAAUAAACAAACUAUAAUUAAAGGAGAAAUGCAAAAGUAUGCUUCAAAGGUACCUAUGGAAGAAAAAGCACUCACCAAGCAGUGGGUCUCCCCAAACAGAAUUUUUUAAGCCCCACAGCAUCUGUCUUCAUGGUAUUCUAUGAAAAGAACCAAGCAGGCCACAAAGCUUUGUGUGAGUGGCCUCCUACUCACUGUUCAUCCCCUUUGAUCGAUUACACUUGCUAGUUCUGUUUCUGCCAUUGCUGAAAGAAUAAUGACUGUGGGCCCUUGACCUUUGCAGUUUUGGAUCUCCAACCUGUACUCUGGUUUUCUGCCAAUUAAACUUAGAUCAGGCUCUCUGAUUGAGCUUAUUUGCAUACUAUCAAAUGGAAACAGGAAACUGCCUCUGUAAUAAUCAGGGUGUUGGACAGAGCUCAGGCUAUAUACACAGGUUUUACCAGGCCAAGUCCGUUUUCUCUGCCAUGUUGUAGCAGGGUUUUAAGGGCCACAGUUUGGACCUGUUGUAGGACCAGAGCCCCAUGUUAGCAGAAAUACAAUGGUACUCCAUUCUGAAAAGUAGCUAUAAUCAAGAUGGUAUAGAAUCUUAGGAAAGCAAUAGCAGUGCUCAUGUAUGCCCAAAAUAUUAAUGAAGAAGCCAGAAAAUGGUUGGCCAUUGGGAAGAUUCAUAACCUUUUAAAAAAACAUAUUUCUGUGAUUAUAAACUUAAGCUGUUGGGCCAUACUUAUAGUUUACUUUAUUUGGUAAAAACUAUACAAUAGUUCAGUUCCUCUAGGAAAGAGGAUUGUUGCUGAAUGGUAAGUGGGGUAAAAAUACUGGCCUAUAUGCAUGCACUGGCCAUGCAUUUAAUCACAAGGAUUAUCACAGAAAAAUUAAGACUUACUUGAAUAAAAGCUAAGUGAGUAUUAUAUAGCCUAUAUAAAUACCUCUUCAUUAAAAUAUUGUUUCCCAAGUUUAUACAUGAAUUUAUAGCCCAAUAGAUGAGACAUUCUUGAGACCGAUUAUUUAAAACAUAAAUUGUGUUUGGCAGACUUACAAAGGAGCUCCUAAACCAAAGCAUAUGUGAAAGGUGUUGGAGAUUUCUAAAUUUCAGUUCGGCUCAGAAACAUUUUCUGUGCCAGCCACUGAGCUGGAAACUGAGCUAUCAUCACCAAAUAAGGCCUUGUGCAUUGUCUCAGAGAGGAGCUUACCAUCCAGUGAACCCAAGAGACACCCAAACAGAGGCUGUCAACAUUCGGUGGCAAUGGUUUCAGUUUCAAAAGUUGUGCCCCUGAACAAUUGUUAACAUAGAAAACACACACUCCAAAAAUCAUGUCAGCUGUAUAUUUGAUAUAAAUUUCCCUUUUGGUUGUUUUCAACCAAAUGGAAUUCAGUUCACAUGUUCCUAUAGCCAUGAUCAAGAGGGCUGGGUGAUACCCUGACUUAGAAUGGCUCUUUGCAUUUGUGAGCUUACUGGAUCCACCUGAAGCUUGCUGAAAUCUUUAGGAUGAACUUGGAAAUGAUUGAUCAGGUAUCCCUCCUGUGGAUGUGUUGGGUACUUUUCCAAAGCAACCACAAACUCUAAGCCAGGCAUGCCAAAACUUAGCAAUAUACUUGCUAUAAACAACAAUGGAAAUGCUUUCUAGACCCACAAACAUUAAGGGAAAAAAAAUUAUCGAAAUAUGUGUGUCUGGGCGUGUAACUAGGAUAAACCAUUAUAAUGACUAAUUUAUAUAUUUAAAGUAAAUACAAUUUUCAAAUACAGAAAAAAAAUGGGGAAUUAUCUUGAGUUUUUACCACUGUUUACUUCUCUUGGAUUUGUGGUCUCAGAACUUGAAGUAUGACGAAUGUCUGUUUUAGGACAUUUAGGAAGGAGUUUCAGACAAAAAUUUCAAAUGAUGAAAGGUAAAAACAAGAGAGAAAAAUAAGUUUCAAAAACCAAAAGCUCUUAUAAAGUCCAAGUGUUGCAGUGAAGGGAACAAAUAAUGUAACUCUAAGGAAGGAGUCCAAACUUCAUCCUUUUUAGAUACUACUUGGCUCUAACAUGUCUAGGAUUCAGUUAUAUUCCAAUUUAAGUUGACGUGGAAAGAUUUGUUUCCUCCCUAAACUAAGACUCCUAAAAUAAAUGGAAAAGGAAAUUGUAGAGUUACCUCUACUUCAAGGCUGGACCAACCCUGUCUAGGUUAAAAUGCAUUUUAUCUAGGGCGCCUGGGUGGCUCAGUUGGUUAGGCGACUGCCUUCGGCUCAGGUCAUGAUCCCGGAGUCCCUGGAUCGAGUCCCGCAUCGGGCUCCCUGCUCGGCAGGGAGUCUGCUUCUCCCUCUGACCCUCCCCCCUCUCAUGUGCUCUCUCUCUCUCAUUCUCUCUAUCUCAAAUAAAUAAAUAAAAUCUUUAAAAAAAAAAAAAGCAUUUUAUCUAAUUAAACGUCCCGGGGCUGUGUGGGAGUAUAGAAAAAGAAUGGUCUCUGCUCACACCUAGCAGCUUCAUGAACUUAGAUGGCUCAACCAGAUACAACUUAAAUCUUCUUGUUUCUAUUGAUCUUAGGCAUUUUUAGAAUUUCCUAUUCAUUUUGUGCACCCUCAUGUGAGCAUGUGUGAUUUGUAAACACUGAUAUUUGAUGCCAUCAUCUACUUUAUUCAGUGGUUUCCUCAUCUAUAAAAAUAGGGACAGAAAUUCCUCCUCAAAAGUUCUGUGGUUUCGGGGUGCCUGGGUGGCUCAGUUGGUUAAGCGACUGCCUUCGGCUCAGGUCAUGAUCCUGGAGUCCCGGGAUCGAGUCCCGCAUCGGGCUCCCUGCUCGGCAGGGAGUCUGCUUCUCCCUCUGACCCUCCUCCCUCUCAUGCUCUCUGUCUCUCAUUCUCUCUCUCUCAAAUAAAUAAAUAAAAUCUUUAAAAAAAAAAUAAAAAAGUUCUGUGGUUUGAUGAAUUUACAACAUAAAAUUCAUCUCAAACUAUCUUAAGUACUCUAGUUUGCUACAUUAUUCACAGAGGUUUUCCAGUUUGGAAUAUAUCUGGACAUCUACAUAACCAAACAUCUGGGGUCUAGUGUCAGGCCAUCAAUUAAACCAGAUGGAAGCCCUACAGGCAAACGUCUUUGUUCUGUCAUGAUAUAGAUCAGUAGGACUCAAACCUGCUUGAGAUUCAGUAUUGUCAGGAAGAUUUAUCUGAAGUAUGCAUUAUUGUGCUCCACCCAAAGGAAUUGUGAUCCAGUGGUUUACAGUGGGGUCCUGGCUACAUAUUCUUGUAAGACUCUCCUGAAAGCCUUCCUCAUAUACAGAUGGAUUUAGUAGUCUACACCAUCUAGGGUAGCAAAUGGCUAAUGGUAUUUCCAAGAUGUCAGUACUUUAAGUGUUGUCGAGUUCUUUAGACAUAUUAAAAAUAAGGUGAAAGUAAAACAAUAUCAGGGUCCAAUAUCCAAACAUUAUGGAAGUUUCAGGGGAGGAGAAUAGCGUAUGUCUUAUCAGGCUGUCAGAUUCAGUUUCCUAUUUUGUGAACGUAGAAUAGCCUUGGUCAUAUUUAGAAACAUCACAUUUAAUAACAAGAUAUUAAUAAACUUGUCCUGCAACUAAGACACUAGUAAAUGCUUAACUGUUAAAAAUGUUUGAGCUGUGCGGUGCCUGGGUGAGUCAUUUGGUUAAGUGUCAGACCCUUGAUUUUGGCUCAGGUCAUGAUCUCAGGGUCAUGAGAUUGAGCCAAAUGUUUGAGCUGGUAAAAAUUCUUAGUUUGCUUAGUUAGCAAAGAGCUUUUAGUUCCUUUAUGUAUUCUUCAUGCUGACUGUAAGCUAUAACUGCUCUGAUCAAAAUAUUUCCCUGAAUGUUACUGUCAGGUGGUUGGGGGUCUAGAGAAAGGGAAGAGCUAACCAUACUCUGGAGAAAAUUUUUGAUAAUUUUAAAUGUUCAUAAUGAUGUGAUUUUAAUUUUUUUUAUGAUGUAUUCUUGGAUGGAGAGAAAAAAACCUUUGUAUCAGGUUAUGGCUACUAAUUUUUUUAAAAAAUUUUAAUACACCUUAAGUCAAAAAUUAAUACACCUUGAGCAAAUAUUAUAUCUAGUAAUAAGCAAUUCUGAGAUGUCCCAUCUGAUUGGGGAAUGAGUCAUGUAUUUUAAACAGUUUUUCCUCACUUUUUUUGGUCUUUACUAGCUUUUUCCUUUCCUUCUUUAACUGCUGAAUAUUUGUGAAAUUAUUUUAUUGUGUAAUUUGUUGGGUUUGAGAAUAUAUGGCAUGGGAGUAUGUUCUGAGAGUUCAAAUUCCCUUCAGUCAAGGACCCCAUGUCACUGCUACCAAAGCCAGCGUCAUUUGAAGCAUUGAUGUCCUCUAAUUGGAAGGCAGGAAUUUGACUCUAAUUUGAAGAAAAUAUGUACAUAUAUAAGAAGACAAAAAGAAAUGAAAAUGGAUUAAAUUCAAGAAUUAAUUUAAUGGAAGGCGUAGGUGGAGGUGAAGAGAGGUGUUUUUCAUUAACAUAUAUUGAUGAUGAAAUUUGUAAGGUUAGGGCCUCAGUGAUUGCUCCUCCUGAUCCCAUUAUCCAGUGGCAUGUGGUUGUUAGAAUGAAAUAAGAAGGAGGAAGAGGGAGGAAAGGGAGGAUGGGGAUAAUGUUGAUUUUUGCUUCAGGCUCAAUCCCAAGGCUGUAAUUUUCAUUCCAAAGCACAGGGGAGGCAAAUGGAGUGACCAUUUAGGUUGGUAACGCCCUUGAAUUUCUGCCAUACUUGGAGGGGGGGGGGGUUCCUCUUGGUUUGCACCAUGGGCCAUAGGCCCAAAUAAAGGAUCAGGUCCGUUUUCUUUUCAGUUCUGACUCCUUCAGCAGUAGAGACAUGUAAGUGAACGAGUUUUACCCAGUAACAAGAGUCAGUAAGAUAAUAAGAUAGCGUAUGUAACAUAUUUUUCUGGAAAAGAAUUUAUGUGCACAAUGCUUCUUUGUUUAUUAAUCCUUAAACUCUAAGCCUAAAGUACACAGUUUUUAUCGGCAUAAAUUCUUCUGACCUACUUUCCCAAACAGGAUUCUGUGUCCUUUGCCAGUCUCUUGUGGGGGUGUCACCGUUGCUUUGAAUGCUGUGCCGCAGGGCAGUGCCAACCUCUCCCUGCUUUUGCUAAUCCUUGUUCCUUCCAGGUUAUCAUAAUGUUAGCUCACCAUGAAUUCAUGUUCAUGGGUAUUUUUUGUGUUUGAGUGUUGAUGUUUUACUGUGCAUCACAAGCAGACACACUUGGUCCGUUCCACAUAGGAGACAACACAGAAGAGCUUAAUGUGCAGUCUCAAGGGGUCACUUUUGAAAUUCAGAUUAUCUAUCAAAUCCAUUGUUAUCUGGCUCCUUUAUGAAAUUGGAAGAACAGUGAAUUUUUACCUUAUAUUCAUAGAGAGCCCUUCAAGAAAUAAUAACAGUUUUAAAACUUUAAAAAAAUUGGUAACAGGAUUAAAAUGGAACAUUUUGGGUGUCAUUAAAAAAAAAUUGGUAACAGUAAUUAAGAAUUCUUUUAUUAAUUUAUGAAAAACUAUUUAAACCAUAUUAUCUGAAUAUAUUUAAUCCAGAUAUCUGCUCACACACAACCUCUUUUUAAGAAGCAAGUAAUAAAUUCAUACACACUUAUGUUUUAUAUAAACACAUGAUGAUGGGAUUGCUUAAAUACAUGCCAAGUCUAGCUAAAACAACCUGAGUGAGGGAAGUUUAUUUUUUUAAAGAACUUCAUGGUGAAUUGAAAUCUAAACACCAGCAAAACAAGUAAUCUCCCCAGCUCAAACUGGUGUUAACAACCGAAUAUCAAUGAAGGUAAAAUGUUAACAGGAUAAUCUCCUUUUAUUGCCCUUAGUUACCUUGAGUUUACGUCUGUGGAUUCUAGUGCAGUUGUCCAGGCUUGUGACUAAGGUCAAGGACUCUGUGAGACUGCUCAGGGGGUCAGUCCUGAUUCUGUCACUUCAUAGAUGCUGUGAAUGUGGGCACGUGUUUUUGUUGUUGUUGUUUUUGGAUUUUUUUAAAAGAUUAUUUAUUUGAGAGAGUGAGCAGGAACAGGAGGGGCAGAGGGGAAGGGAGAGAGAAUUGCAAGCAGACUCCUCACUGAGCAUGGAGCCCAAUGCAGGGUUUAAUCUCACCACCCCAAGAUCAUGACCUGAGCCAAAACCAAGAGUUGAUCACCUAACCAACUGAGCCACCCAGGUGUACCGUGGGCAUGUGUUUGAAACAUCUGUACCACAGGUUCCUCACCCGUAUAAGGAUAAAGAUAGUUCUCAUACCUAGGGUAGCCAUCCCUCUUAGUUUGCCAAGGACAGCCCCCAUUUAUACCGGUUGUCCUGAAGUAAUUAUUACUAGUUUCCCCUUUCACAUUCAAAAAACAUUCCAUUUUAGGGUCUCCAGGUCAUGAUUCCGGGGUCCAGAGAUCCAGCCCCAUGUCAGGCUCCGUGUUCAGUGGGGAGCUUGUUUCUCCCUCUCCCUCCAUCCCUCCCCACCCCCGCUGGUGCUGUCUCUCUCCCUUUCUCUCUCUCUUUCUCUCUCAAAUAAGUAAGUAAAAUCUUUAAAAAAAGUUCCAUUUUAAAUGAUAAAUUGUAGAGUGUCUUUUCUUAUACAGCUACUGUGAAGAUUAAAUGAGCUGAUCCAGAAUUAUGUGAAGCACUUAGAGAAAUGUUUCUUAUUAAUACAAGCUUAUUAUAUUUCUUAUCAAUUUUAAUCCCAAUAUAAAGAAACAGAAUUGACAGGGGAAAUCCAAAAGAGCUGCACAUGCCCUUAUAUAGUAACAGAAGAGAAAAUGGAGGAACAUGGCACCCUCAACACUCUGAAAAUACCUAUUUUCAAAAGAUCUGGUUGUGUCUUUUCUUGACCUAAAUAUCAAAACAAUUUGUUCUAUCAGUGGGUUCACAUUUUAAUAAUUUUAAAUCACUAGAAUAAUGAAAUACAAAAUCAGGAAAUAAUGUUAUUGGUAGAAAACAUAUAUGGAAGUUAGUCUCCGUCUUUCAAGCAGCUAUUAUUUCAGGCAAAUAGUAGGUUAUAUAUUAGCCAUAAUGUAACUGGAUUUAAUUGUUGGGUAAAUAUCCUCUCCAUAAAGGUGUAAAAGAGUACAAAUGGCCACCCAUGAAUACAAUGGAUGCAGACCUGAUAUUCAGCUGAUAAGUAUCAAUAUGCCUGUACUGCUAUUAAAAUAUUGAAAAACCCCAGGUGACUCUUUUCUACCUUGGUCACCUCAGCCCUACCCCAAAUCUUGGUCUCACCCAGGAUCCAACAACUAAGAGGUUCCUUUCUGGCCCAGCAGUGGGUCCAGCUCUAGGCUGUGAUCUUUCUAGUGGGAGAUACCUGUGGUGAUCCCUUAAAACUCUCCAAGUGGAUGGCAGGGAAUAUUGUUCCAAAGCAUGAUCAAGUAGAGUACAUCUCCUCUCUCCAUGUAGACUCAUUAGCUGCCUUCUUGUGCAAGUUCACGUGGAGUCUGCUCUAAAGUUCACUUCAAACAAAGAAAAAAGAUGGGAAUCCUUGGAAAGGCUUUCUGUCAUCUUCUUUGACAGCAUUUUUUGGUGGAACAGAUGAUUUUCCAAAAUUAUAAGAAUAACCUCAGUAACCUCACUUAAAACACAUAAUCUUCUUUUCUGGAUCAUCUUGAUACCUAAUUUGUAAUCGUACUCUAUCAGUUAGAGAAAAACCAUUUUUGAAAAUCACAUAAUAACCUGAGUUUUCAUUGUGGAGAGUGAGACAGUGAAAUUAUUUCCCUUUGAAAGUGAUGACAGAAAAGAAUAUCUUUUUCUUUUGAAGAGCUUCGUGACUAACAAGUGACACCAGCUACUGUUCCAAGGGGAUACACAUGCAUUUCAAACCAGUGACAUUGAGAAGAUCAGGGAUUAGGCUGCACGUGGAACAAUACUACAACAAUGAUGCAGGAGUACACAUAGGAUUGUUUCUGGACUCUCCACAGGAUUGCUCUCAGGGGCCUGACUAGGGAAUGGAAUGAACCGGUUCUUCUGCUUCCAAGAAACUGUGCCUGAGUCUUGGUGUAGUGCCAGAGUGAUGGCGAAACGCUUGGCCCCCAGCAGCAUGCUGUCAGUGUGUUUGCGUCAGCAGCCUGAGUAACUGCAGAAGAGGAAUAAGCACAGGCAUUUAGAGAUGGCAGAGGGUUGCUAAAGUGUGGGGGGAAAAAAACCCCAACGAACAAAAGUCGCUUGUGAUUUUCGCCUUUCAAUCAUGUUUUUAUCAUGCUGAAAUGAAGAUUGUCACUGUGCGAUUUUUGAUGUGUAAGGACAGCUAAAAUUGAUAAUUCUCUUGCAUAAUAAUGUACCCCAUUUUAGGCACAUUUUUAUUUGUUUUUACUCGUACUGGGUUAUAUUCGAUAUUUUUUUUCUUUAUUGGCAUCCUCUGUGGCCAUUUUGGGCUGUGACUCCCUGUUCUUUACAUGUUUUGGUACCAUUAUCCAUAAACAUGCAGUUCUCCCUCCCUGCUAGCUUCGUGAGUACUAUCAAUGACAUUACGUAUGAUAGGCAGAUAGUGGCUCCAUGAAAGACAGCCACAUCCUAAUCCCCGGAACCUGUGAAUGUUACUUAAUAUGGCUAAAUCGACUUCACUGGUAUGGAUCAAUUUAAACUCUUAAGAUCUGGAGAUUAUCCUGGAUUUUCCAGGUGUGCUUUAAGUUCAACCACAAAUUUGCAUAUAAGACAGUGACAGAGAAAUUUGAAACAGAAGAGGAAGAGAAGGCAAUGUGAUCACAGAGGGAGAGACUGAAGGGAGGAGGUUUCAAAGCCAAGGAAUGUCAGUAGCCCCAGAACCUGAAAGAGACAAAGAACAAUUCUCUUCCAGAGCAUCCAGAGGGAGUGUGUCCUGCCAACAGCUCCCUGUCAGCCUGGUGAUACUGAUGGUGGAUUUCUGGCCUCCAGAACUGAGAGGAUACAGUUCUGUUGUCCUAAACCAUAAAGCCCAUAGUAAUUUGCUAUAGCGACUCAAAAACUAACACAGCCUGAUUCAGAAACUAUGCAUGCAUAGAUUUAAAUGCGUCUUCUUUUUUACAAUGCAAUUUUCCACAAAUCAAACAUAAGUACCGAAAAAGUGCAAAAAUCUUCUGUAUAAAUGAGUUAUCAUAUGAGUUAGCACCAAGCAACCAUACUUCACUGAGAUUGAAAAAUCUCUGUGUCCUCUUUUGUGCCUCUCCAUUCUCCCCAAAUGUGACCACUGUCCCAACUGCUAACACCAUAGCGCCAUUUUGCCUGAUUAAUUUAAACUUUUUAUAAAUGGGAUUGUGUAUUUUAUUUUUGUCUAACGUGUUUUGCUUAAUAUUUUGUUUGAGAGAUUCAUUGACACUGUUAUGAGUAUAAGUAGUUAGGUUUUUUUAUUGCUGAGUACUACCCCUUUUGGGAAAAUAGAGUGUUUAUGCAUUUUCCUGUUCGUAGACAAUUAUGUCUUUUCCAGUUUGGGGCUAUCUUGAAUAAAGCUGCUGUGAACAUUCGUAUACGUACAUGUCUUUUGGCACAUACCUAAGAAUUGAAUUGCUGGGUCAUAUAGUAUGCAUAUGUUCAGAUGGAGCAGAUAGAGCCAAAUUAUUUUCCAAAGUAGUUAUUACGAAGUUACAUUCCUUUCAGAAGUAGAUGGAAAUUCCAUUUGUUCUAUAUCCUUGCCAAAUCUUGGAAAUUACUGUCUUUAAAACUUUUUUUUUAUUAAAACAAAAGAUUUAGCUAAUGACAAACAGUGGUAUGUCAUUAUAUUUUAUAGAAUUUCUAUUCUCUGCAUGACUAAUGAUUUUGGAUACUUUUUCAAAUGUUUGUUAUUCACUUGGAUAUCUUCUAGGGCAAUUAUUUCAAGACAUUGCGCAUUUUGUUUUAGGUUAUAUUUUUCUUACUGAUUUUCAGGAGUUCUUUAUAUAGUCCAGAUAUCAGCCUUAUAUAGGUUAUAAGAGUUUACAAAUAUUCUUCCAUAGCAGACUUGUUGUUGCAUAAAUGGAGAUUCCAACUUUAAUGUAUUCCAAUUCAUUAUUCUUUUCUUUUGGUUUAUACUUGUUUGCCCUAUUUAACAAAUCUACCUAUUCCAAGGCCAUAAAGAUAGUCUCUCAUAUUAUCCUGUAAGGGAAUUGUUGUCUAACUUUUCAAUCUAUAAUUGACCAGCCUUUCAGAAACAGUAUACAAAUUUAUAUUUGUACCAAUUGAAGUUGAGAGUAUCUAUUACUCUGUACCCUCAUCUAUAGGGUUUAUUUUCUUUCUCUUUGCAAAACUAUUAUGAAAAGGCACAUUAUUAUCCACUAUAUUCUGAAAAUACAUUUAAGAAAAUGUAUUUUCAUGCGUAUAAUUUUUUAUUAUACAUGGGAGUAGAGACCUUGAUAAAAGUAACAUAUAGUCUAUAAAUUUAAAAAAUAUAUUAAGGCUUUAAAAUCAGAGAAAAGCAUUUUUUCAACAAUAGUAAUUUUUCUUUGUAUGUGUCUAUUCAGCAAAAGCAUCAGAAGUUCUUUAAUUGCCACCUUUAGUAAAACUUAGGCUUGCUAUUUCUCUGGUGUGAAAUUUUAGGUGGAAAAGCUGUUUAUAAAUGAUAUAAAAUAAAGGCUAAAUCAACAUUCUUGUAUUAUUUUUCAUGGAGAAUAGUAACUAUAGGAGAUUAAGCAAUUAUCUCCUCAUGGUGGAAUUAGAUGGACAUUCUUAAGGCUAAAUUUGGAAACUUAUCUGCAAGAUGAUGUUUUGGAUAACAUUCAAGUGCUGGGUUAAAGAGGCAGUAAAACUUUUUAGAUUAAGAAACGUGUGUUGCUAUAAAACAUAGUAAGUGUAGGGUGCUGAAGUGGGCUUAUGAGUGAUCUUAUCAUCUCUUCUGCAAGAGAUUGUCUUCAGUUUCAAGAGGGAUUCCAGAGUCAGAAAAAGAAUUCCUUGAUCUAGAUUCUACAACAAAAUCAUCAUGAAUAGAUCCAUCAUAGAUUAAAAAAUAAAAGGAAAACAUGCGAUGAAAAUGACUGCAUUCUACAAACUACAUAGGCUGCAGAAAUGAUAUGUAAGAAAGAAAUGAUAAAUUAAAAUAAGAUAAAGAAAAGAUUGAUAAGAAAGAAGCUUGAUUUGAAAAAAAAAUUGGGGAUUUGGAGUAUUUUGCCUGUUUUCUAAAUAUACUUACCAGAGGAAUAGAGAGAGUAGAAAUCCUUUGAUGAAUGAAACAUCAAAAACUAAAAAGGUUGGGACUAAGAAGUUGUUUUGGACUUAUCUAAUGGAGGCUAUCUUUUUUUUUUUUUUUUAAUAAGAGAAGAAACAUUUGACAGUGACCCAUGACCUGACCUUGAAUGCUAGUCUAUGUCCAGGCUAUGGAGACAUGAAGGUAGUAAAGUUAUCACGUAAUAUAUAAUAAUUUUUAAAUUGCUUGACUUUAUGCACAAGUGUGUACUAGACAGGGAAAGGGAUCUCUUUAUAGAUGGAGGAUUUUAAUCAAGAGAAUGUAUAACUUCCUAAAAAAAAAAGAGAGAGAGAAAAUAUGACUUCCUAAGGGCAAGAAUUAGAGCUUCAAGUUAAGUUAUGAGACUAAACAGGGGGUAUAGUUCUAGUCAAAAUCCAAAAUAUUACUUGAAAUGGUUUUUUGGGAUGCCUGGGUGGCUUAGCCAGCUAAGCGUCUGCCUUCAGCUCAGGUCAUGAUCCCUGGGUUCUGGGAUUGAGCCCCUCCAGGGAGUCUGCUUCUCCCUCUGCCCACUGCUCCCUCUGCUUGUGUUCCCUCUCUCUCUUACUCUCUCUCUCAUUAAAAAAAAAAAAAAAAAAGGAAGAAAUGUUUUUUUAUUUUCCCAAAAUUUAGUUAUGUUUUUAUUCUCAUUAUUAAAUCCGAGGAAACUAGAAAUAUACAAAUUGAAAUUUAGUUAAGUGCACAUGUUGGAGCAGUGUUCAGAAAUUUUGUAACUGCUUCUUAGACACUGGGAUUAGUUGCAUGUGUAGUGGUGGAAAUAAUAGCGGGAAAGAAGAAAAAGCAUAUUAUAGAUAAAAUUAGAAAGAACUCAGUUUAUGUUGGGGUAGAGGUUAAGGGUAGUUUUAGAAAGUCUAAAAGUUGGAAAAGACCAAUGCUAGAAAGGACCUUAUUAUUUGGUUCAACUCUUCUAUGCAAAACUGAGGCUGAGUUAGAUGGUAUGCGUAAGAGUAAAAAGCUGGUUAUAAGAACAUGAUGAUGGUUUGUCUGCUACUGAUUCUCAUUCUAGUAGCAGCCUUCCACAAUGCCACUUGGCUGUUAGUAGCAAGAGUAGGUCUGAGGCCUGCUGCCUCAGUGAGCCCUGUGUAUAUUGCUCAGUACUGGGAGCCAUGUUGAUGAAUUGCAUUGACUCAUUCAUUGUUUGUCCUAAUUGUUGGACAGGCAAAAUGAGAAUGCCAAGUGAAUUUGCUCUUACUACUUUUAGAAAAGGAAAAGACAAAACAAAACAAACUUGUUCGUACCAGCGCUAUUCAAGUGUGGUCCUCCAUAACUGGCAGAGAAUGCCAGCAGUUGUUACCAGGCCAGACCGUGGUAAAUACAGGAAAUCAUAGUACAGCCAUUUGACAGAAUAAUGUCUACUGGAUCUAAUGUGAAGACAUCUGGGCUUUUAUUUUGUAUGGCAGAGUUGUUGUUAAUUUUCAUUUGCCUAGAAAUUCACUUUUAUUACAUAUUAAAGAAAUUUUUUUUAAAGAAACAAACAAAAACACUUGUCCUCAUUUGAAAAGGAUUAGUCUAAAGCACUUUCUCCUCAAAUUCCCUCACUGGUAAAUGACAAAUACUAAUUUAAGUCGGGCAACACCACCUGCUGGGACAAAUAAUCCUUUCUCUUCUCUUCUCCCUCCCCUCUCCCAAAUUGGGUUGAGAAUUUAAGGACUUUUACAGAUCAUUUCAAAGAAUUUUCAUUGAAUUGGUACAGUUUUCCCACCUCUUUAAGGCAUUCUGGAAGUUUCUAAAAGAAAUAAUAAAAAUUUUAAAGAAUGCCUAGAUUUGUGGGACAAAUGAGUCUGGUUAGGUCUAAUAUGUGUAAGAAUGGAUGUGUACUCAAAGUGUUACAAUGGGAAGAACUUCAGAGUCAAGCUUCCCUGGAUUCUGGAUUCCAGUCCUGACUCUACCACUCCAUAGCUACAGUGGAUCAGCCCAUAUUUAACUCCUCUAACAGUAGUUUCUUUAUAAGGCAUGGAGUACAAUAUAUAAAUCUCAUGGUGCAGGGAUUAAAUAUAGGUAAUUAAAACACAUCUCAGUGCCAGUAAAAUCAUAUGUUACCAAUAAAGGUAAGUCAUUAUUCUCAUUUCUCACAGGAGAAAGUGAGAAUUGGGAAAGACUUUAUAGAAAUUAUAUGAUUAGUUAAGCCUUAAAAACAUGGAAAAGUUAGCCAGGCAGAUAAGACAAAGAAGACUAAUAUGAACAUAGCUGAGAAGCAUGAGGUAGUAAAAUGUUUUUGUCAGACAUUACAGGUAGCUCAACUGCAGAAACAAAAAGAUCAAGGAGGAAAUACCAGGUGUUAGAGCUGAGGAAGUAAGAAAGGUUAAAUCAUGAGAAGCCUUGCUCAGCAAACUUGUAGACAUGGAAUUUUCCCUUUUUAUGGGACAUUUAUAGCCUGGGUGCAUGGACCCUCCUCACUGAAAAUGGAGGGAUAUUUGAAUGAAUUCCAAGGUAUCAAUGACAUCCUGAAGUUGUGUGCAACAUUUUAUGACUAUAAUCACAUAUGAAAUUUUUGAGAAAAAGAAAGGCCCUAAGAUUUGCUAGAUUCUUAAAGUGCCCCACAGCUUCUAACAAGCUCAGAACAAUCAGAUUAGGAAAUAGGAAGUCUCUGAAUAGACUUAAAGUGGGACAGAAGUGCUGUGUGUGUAAAAGACGUGGUCACAUUUAGCUUUUGGAUGAUAGUUAACUCAGGUAGAAACAUGAAGCUGAUGUGAGAAUUCCACUUGAUUUGUAGGUUAGGGUCACAGUCUUUGUAUCCCUAGCACCCAGAACACAGAAUCCCUCAUA